RNAcentral lists this long non-coding RNA (70491 nucleotides) under Ananas comosus (pineapple). Its description in RNAcentral is "long non-coding RNA (ACOM_LNC009598)". Lineage: Eukaryota; Viridiplantae; Streptophyta; Magnoliopsida; Poales; Bromeliaceae. The record is from RNAcentral.
CUAUUUGUUUGUUUGUUUGUUUGUUUGUUUGUCCGUAAGUGAUUUUUAAUUUUACAGAGAUUUUCAGUUAAAUUAGACUUCAGGUGAAAAUAUUUUAAAAAUCAAACAAAAUAAAUCCUUUAUUUCUUUCCCCCUUUAGAUUGACGUAAAUAGAUUCAGAUUGAUGGAGCUUCCGUUCUAAUACGUCUCAAAUGAGAUGAUAAGUGAGGACGACAAAUAUUUAAAAAAUAAUAAUUCGUUUCAAAAUUGUAAAAAAGUAAAACAUGAGGCUGGAGACUCAUUUUCUUUGACCCACCGCCACCAUUUAUUAUUAAAAUAUUUGUCAAAAAUUCGCUUUCCUAUAUUGAAUGCGGAACGAUAAGUGGGAAUGAAAAAUGUGACACAAAUAAAUCCGUUUCGAAUCCAUCCUGACUCGCCACGAAAACGGGGUGGCAGGUGAGAAACCCCUCCUGCCGUCGGAUCCACCUUGAUUACAUAUUCAAACUCCUCUCUUUCUUUGAUCCGUCACCACCAUUUGUUAAAAUAUUUUUCAAAAUUUUACCUUUCCAUUGAAACAAAAAAUAAUAAAUAAUGAUAAAAAUCAAUUCGUUUCGAAUCUAUUUCGACCCGCAGCAGGUAAUGGAGUGGGAAAUGAAGAAACCCCUUCCGCCCGCAGAUCCAUCUUGAUUGCAUAUCAAAACUCUUUCUUUUUUUUUUUUUUUACCGACUGUCCCUAGAGCAAGUGGCAAAGGGCUUGGUUGUUGGUAUUCGAGACCCAAGUUCAAAUCCUAAUUGAUUCAUAUUUUCAGCUAAGUUUAUUUAUAAAUAAAAUAAACGAAGCGGUAGCGUGCUAUCUAUCUCAAAAAAAAAAAAAAAAAAAAAAAAAAAACUCUUCUCUUUUUUUGAUUCGCCCCGCCUGAUUGUUAAAGUAUUUUUCAAAAAUUUGUCUCCCGAAUAGAAAAAGUAAAAUGCAAAAAAUAAAAAAUCAAAAUCGUGCCGAAUCCAUUCGGAUCCCUUGCGUAAACGGGUCCGUUGCUGCAGAUCCGCCCCGUUUGCAUCUCUCCUCCUCCACGUCUUCGCACUCCUGCACCUUCGCGAGCUUCUCGUUCUCUUCACCACCUGGGUUCAGCAUCAAAUUCAAUUGAAUUAAAAGAAAAUGGAGCCGGACGUGAGCAUGGAGACGAUGUCGACGAUCCGGAUCGCGGUGGUGGCGGUGGGGGGGGCGAUCCCGGCGGGGCGGCUGCGGGAGUACGCGGCGGCGGUGGGGCGGCACGCGCGGGUGGAGCUGUCGGCGCUGGCGUCGUUCUACUCGGAGCAGCAGAAGAGCCCCUUCGCGCACCAGCCCUGGGACUCCGGCGCCCUCCGCCUGCGCUUCGUCCUCGGCGGCUCCCCUCCCUCCCCCUGGGAGGACUUCCAGUCCCACCGCAAGAUCCUCGCCGUCCUCGCCCUCUGCCACUGCCCCGCCUCCCCCGACCUCGACAUCGUCGCCCACCACUUCGCCGCCGCCUGCAGGCCCUACCCCCACGCCCUCGCCCGCCGCUGCUUCGCCUUCUUCCCCUCCGACGCCCAGGUCCCAUCCCAUCCCACCCCCAUUCCGUUGAAUUUAGGGUUUGAUUUUAGCUUGAUCUGAUCUGAUCUGAUCUGAUUGAAUUUAGGAUCGAUUUAGUGAAUUUUCGAUUUUUUUGUCAAGAAUUUUGAUGGGGUAAAUUCAAGUUUAGAGUUUGAUUUAGCACCCUUCUGGUUUUGAUUCCGCUUGAUCUGAUCUGAUCGAAUUUAGGUUUUGAUUUUAAUUUGUUUGUGUAGAAAAAAAAAUCAAAAUUAGAUUUAGGAAUGACAUUUUGUUGUUGUUGUUGUUGUUGUUGUUGUUGUUGUUGUUGUUGUAUGCUGUUAGGUGCCUCUGAUUGGAUUUAGGGCUGGAAGCUAGCUUUUUUUCUUUUUUUCUUUUUGACUCAACUUGACCUGAUCUGAUUGAAUUUAGGUUUUGAUUUUUAGUGCCUUUUCUAUUUUUGAAAGAAAAGAUUGAUUGGGUCAUGUAGUUCAGAAUUUAGAUCCCGCUAUGCACUCUACUUUCUAGCAACAGCUGCGGAGCAAAUCUGUUGAAGGAAUUUUAACUGUGAUCUGAUCGUAUCUAGUGUCAAUUUAGUGCUUUUAGAAUUUUGAUCUAGGUAUGCACCAUUUGUUGUUUUAUCUUGUUAUGUGCCUAUUUUUGGUUCUGCUUCUGCUUCUACGUUUUGCAACAGAUACCUUCGAGUAAAGUGAUUGUUGGUAAACAGAAAACUUUGGUGCUUCUAUAACAGCAGCGACUAGGAAUGAGAUUUUUCGGCACAAAAUCAGAAGAAAUGAGAUUCUGAAGCGCAGAAUCGGAAGCUAGACCUAGUGUUGGCUUCUGGCUUCUCGAUCUGAUCGAAUUGGUGGGAUUGGGUAGUUAGAUUUAGAGUUCAGAUCCAGGCGUCCGAUUUUUUUGUUUUAUGUUGUUGAUUGUUGUUAUGUGCCUCUUCGGUUCUGCUUCUACUUCUACUUUUAGCAAUAGUUACUUCCGGGUAGAGCAUUAGCUAAACAUAAAAGUUCAUUGCUUCAAUUACAGUGGUAAUAAAAAAAGUGAUGUUGUGAUUGAGAUUAGUGUUAAUUUAGUGCUUUUCUUUUUUUUGGAAGAAUUGACGGAGUUGGUUAGUUUUAGAAUUUAAAACCACCUAUAUGCACUUAAUCGGUGCAUCUUUCUUGGAAGUUAGAAUUUAGAUCCAGCUAUGCACUCAGUCUUGACCAAAGCAUCUGUUUUGGUGGAAUGGGGUUGGUUUUGACUUCAACUUGGAAUCUUAGUUAUGACAUGCAUCGCUUGUCUCAGAAAGCAAGCUCAUAGUAUAACUUGGAAACAGAUACUGUAAUGCUUUUAUUGUCAGUUUGUUGCUUAUUGUGCUGUCGUUGCUGUUAGUUUAUCUAUCGCAAGAAUUAUCUGUUCUUGUUUGAUCUUCAAAACUCUCUUAGUGCUUCUUCACUGCAAAAUUUGUCUAUUUCAACUCAUUAUUUUUGUCUGUUUCAUGAUUUCUGUGACAGUUAAGGGAGGAGAAAAGAGAUGAUAUUGUAUUAUUUCCUCCUUCGGAUGUGCAAAAGAUGGAAUUUCACAUGCUCACGAUGGUGCAAGAUCUCGCUGCUUCAUUGUUGAUGGAGUUUGAAAAAUGCGUUCUUCGUACAGAAUCUGCAGGGACGAUUUUAAAGACACCUUUGGACUCGCAAUCCAGCCUUGGUUCAGAGGAGGUUUAUUCUUAGGUGUUCUAAGAAAUUAUGCAAUUGCACUUGUGGCUUCUAGAAGCUUUUGAAGUUACACACGACUUCUCUUCUCUUCUAAAUAUUCUUCAUCUUACGAAACUGUAGGUCAUUAAGGCAAAAAAACGAAGGCUUGGUCGCGCACAAAAAACAAUUGGGGACUACUGUUUGUUGGCUGGGUCACCUGUUGAUGCUAACGCACAUUAUUCCACGGCAAUAGAGCUUGCGAGAUUGACAGGAGAUGUAUUCUGGCAUGCAGGGGCAUUGGAGGGUAGCGUUUGCGCGUUGCUAGUAAGCAUACUCUUUAAUAUAACUGCAUGAGGUUAUAGAUGGUUGUACAUUGAAAAUAAAACUUUCGAGUAAAAGAAUUGCAACUGAUGACUGAUGCAAGUGGACUUUCUGUUUUAUUUUCUUUCCCCUCCUCCUCUUAUUGACUUUCUGCUGAGGUUUUCUUUACAUGUUAGGUGUUGAGAUCUCCAUACUGCUUGUUGAGCUUAGUUUAACAAAAAUGAAAUGACCUUAAGGUCUUAUAUAUGUGUAGGUAGACCGCACAGGUGGAAGAGACCCUAUUCUAGAGGAGGAGGUGAAAUAUCGUUAUUACACUGUCAUCCAGCUAUAUAGAAGAGCUUUCAUACAGGAUAAUGCUCAAAGGUGCUGCUGUCUAGUUUGCUGUUUCUCCAGCUCAAGACGAGAACUUUCUACCAUAUGUUGUAGCUUUUUGCAAAAUUUCAUCUGAUUUCUUCUAUAUUUCUUUCUGGAACUAAAUGUCGUUUUACUAAUCUGAUCUGAUGCGAUCUUUUGACCUUUACAGGGUUUCAACUGUGAGCUUUGAACUCGAGGCUGCAUUGAAGUUGGCUAGAUACCUUUGCCGGUAAGUUAACUUACAUCUAUAUUAAGCUUUUGCAAUUACCAAUUUAAUUUUUCAUCAGAAUUUCAGACUUUGUGUAAAUUUUCUCCAAAGCUGACUUUUGAAUUCCUGUGAGAAUUCGGUUCUGCAAAUAUAAGUUCUUCUUAAAAAUAUUAAUUGAACUUGAACAUAUUAAGUCUCGGUCAUCAUCAUAUCCAGGAGAAGUUUUAGGCUUUUGUUUAUCAUUCCUAGUAAGUCUUCUAAGUUUAACCUUAGGCAAUAUGGACUAUGAAUUAUUGUGUGGAAAUAGCUUAAGCAUUUGGUGGUCGUUUGAGUGAUACUUCAGUAAUCUUUUAUCUCCUUCAUUCUUUAUAGUAUAAAUUUGGAUCCAACUUUGCAAUCCACAUAUUAUGAUUGUUUUUACUGGUUGAAGCAGAUUUAUAUCAUCAUUUUCUCGAAUAUGUUUGAUCUUCAAAGUGACCUAAAGACUUAGAUGGUAUAGAAAUUUAAGCAGUUCUGCCUUAUGUUGUCAGAACUGAACUUGCUAAGGAGGUUGUUGAACUGCUGAUGGGGGCUGCAGAUGGUGCGAAGUCUCUUGUUGAUGCCAACGAUCGUUUGAUAUUAUAUGUUGAAAUAGCAAGACUGUUUGGAACACUAGGUUAUCAACGUAAAGCAGCCUUUUUCUCGCGCCAAGUUGCCCAGCUGUACUUGCAGCAGGAUAGUGCCAGCGCUGCUAUCAGCGCCAUGCAAGUUUUGACCAUGACCACAAAUGCUUAUCAUGUUCAAAGUAGGAGGACGAACCCGAAACUACAUGCUCCAGCCCAAGUAAGCUGUUUUUUUUUUUUCCUUUUCCUUUUUUCUUCUUUUGGACAACCCUUAUGGGUUUGAAGCAGGUUGCCUACUAGCUCUUUAAUGCAUUUUACUAUUUAGUCGCUAGGUUCUAGGGUAUAUAUGCUCGUUAGACUUUGACAGGAAUAUACUGACCUUGAACACUUUAUUCGCAAAUCCUCACAAUACUUAGUUUUGUACAUAAUACUAUCAGAAACUUUGAUGAAGGUUUAAGAAGACAAUUGAGGUUGUGCACUGCGAAUCUUGAUUAUCAUUUCAUCUAAAAGCCAGGCUUCUGUUAAUUAUCUCAUUCAAUCUGUACAUAAGACUGUUGGAAGAAUAGCCAAAAACAAGGAAGAGUUACGAAAUAAGGCUGCUCUAUAUACGCUGAGUUUUAAAAUAAAAAACUUUACAAUAAAACAUAUACUCUGCAUGAACUUUAUUCUCGUCAGUGUAUGUGCUUGAAUUUUUUGAACAGCUGACUGAUAAAAUAUUGUAUGCUUUAACAAUUUCUUUCUUCAUAUUAUUUCUCCUUUGUUGUAGAUUAGAUAACCGUCAUGUAGUUGAUUUGUUCCUAUGCUUCUUAAAGGAACUCGGUACAAGUCAUGGUGAUGGGAAGAAAAUGCAGCCUCAAUCGGUUGUCUCCUUAUUUGAAUCGCAAUGGAGUUCCCUGCAAAUGGUUUUGUUGAGAGAAAUUCUCGUGUCCUCUGUCCGUGCUGGAGAUCCUCUUUCAGCUUGGAGUGCGGCAGCUCGUCUACUCAGAUCAUUUUACCCACUUAUCACACCAGCGGGUCAGAGUGGUCUGGCGAGCUCGCUUGCCAAUUCUGCAGAUAGGCUUCCUGUGGGCACGCGCUGUGCUGAUCCUGCCCUUCCUUUUAUCAGGCAUCUUUCCUAAUCUUUCUAACGACAAAACUAUGGUCCUUGUUUGUGUGUUGUUUACGAUGCCAAUACAUUCUUCAUUUAGCAUUAUCACAACAUAUAUUAUGCAUGCCAAAUGCCUCCUGUUGUCGUACUCUUUCAAUGCCCUUAAUUGAUAUCAUCUAUUCCUGAAACUAUGAAUUGUUUCUACACUUUCAAUCUAUUAUACCUUGUCUAUCCUAACACCUGCAAUAAGUUGUACUACACCCAGUGAAAUUUCCUCGUUGGCGUAACUUAAUACUCGUCAGAGGAUCCUGCCCUUCACAAUCCCAUUGUUAUUUCUAUUAAAUAGGAUACAUUAGUACUGAUCUGAUGAGUGCCUUAUUCAAUAAUUCGCUAGCCUGCAAUUGAUUGGUCGUGUCCACAUGUUAAACUCUUUGACAGAUCUUGCUGAUAGAGUAUAUACUGCAGCCAUUCUUUUGACAAUGUUGAAAAUUUUAAAUACACUAAAUACUAGUCGUGUUCUAUCAGGUUGCAUUCGUUUCCUCUCCACCCAUCACAAAUGGAUAUAAUAAAGCGUAAUCCACUGAAAAAGGAAUGGUGGACUGGGUCAGCUCCUUCUGGGCCGUUCAUCUAUACACCAUUCAGCAAGGGAGGUACAACAGAUAACAGUAAAGAAGAGAUAACUUGGGUUGUGGGCGAACCAGUUCAGGUCUUGGUUGAAUUGGCUAAUCCGUGUAGCUUCGACCUGGUUGUCGAAAGUAUUUACCUAUCUGUUCACUCUGGAAACUUUGAUGCCUUCCCCGUGAGUGUAAAUCUUCCACCUAAUACAGCCAAGGUGAUUUUACUGUCUGGAAUUCCAACAAAAGUUGGACCGAUUUCCAUUCCGGGGUGCAUUGUUCAUUGCUUCGGUGUCAUCACUGAACACCUAUUUAGGGACGUCGAUAACUUGCUCCUUGGGGCCGCACAAGGUCUCGUCCUUUCUGAUCCAUUCAGAUGCUGUGGCUCUGGCAAGUUAAAGAAUGUGUCUUUUCCCAAUAUCUCCGUAGUUCCUCCUCUACCUUUGCUGGUCUCCCAUGUGGUUGGUGGGAACAGUUCGACCAUUCUUUAUGAAGGUGAAAUUCGUGAUAUUAGGAUCUGCCUGACGAACGCGGGUACCGUACCAGUUGAACAAGCACAUAUCACGCUAUCCGGGAAAAAUCAAGAUUCGGUUAUUUCAAUGGCACACGACAAGUUGACGUCGGCUCUGCCUCUCAAACCAGGUGGGGAGGUGACUUUCACUGUGACUUUGAAGGCAUGGCAGCUUAGUUUGGCGGAUUCUGAGGUCGAUGCUAGCAGGAAUUCUUCUAGUAGUGCACGAAGAAUAUCGAAGGAAGGAAGCAGCCCACUCCUGGCUAUUUAUUAUGCUGGUAAGAACAUUACCUGGUACUACUACUAUAACUUUUUUUUUCCCCUUAAACUCCGCUGUUCUUUAGUUUCUGUUUGAACACUUGAACAUUUUGCAAUCUAUGAUGCUUAGAUUUUUGUCCAUCAAAUUUGAUAAUUUGUACAAGGUUGACGCUUUGUAUUUUAUCAUCCUAGGUCCAUCUACAAACUCCGAUGAAUCUGAAAACAAGGAAGCUUCUGUGCCACCAGGAAGGCGCUUGGUUCUUCCACUGAAUGUCUGCGUUCUACAGGGCUUGCGUUUUGUAAAGGCUCGUUUGCUCUCAAUGGAAAUUCCUGCUCAUGUUUCUGAUUCCUUUCCUAAACCUACCAAUAUUAAUCAGAGUUCAACUGAAGAAGACGACGAUGUGCAAGAUAAAGAUGGUAGCUUAGUAAAGAUCGACCCAUACAAAGGAUGCUGGGGAAUCCGCCUUCUUGAGCUCGAGCUGUCUAAUCCAACUGAUGUGGUUUUCGAGGUUAAUGUGUCAGUUCAGCUGGAUAAUCCAACCGACGAGCAUACACCAGUACGUGACUAUGAAAGUGCUGAUAUCAGGUACAGGAAGACGAGAAUUGAUCGUGAAUACUCUGCACGAGUUCUGAUACCAUUGGAAAACUUCAAACUUCCUGUUCUUGAUGGUUCCGUCUUCCUAAAGGACUCCCAAACUGAUGAAUCUGCCGGAAAUAAAGCAUUUAGUGUAACUGAAAGGAAUGCCAAGGCUGAGUUGAAUGCUUCGAUCAACAACUUAAUCUCGAAAAUUAAAGUGCAGUGGCAGUCCGGAAGAAACAGCUCGGGGGAAUUGAAUAUCAAAGAGGCCACUCAGGCGGCGCUGCAAGCGUCAGUGAUGGACAUAUUAUUGCCUGAUCCUCUAACCUUUGGCUUCAGGAUCGCAAACACCUCGGUUGAAAUUGGCGAGUUGGGCGAUCAGAGCUCUAAGAACCCUAUCGCGGCUCACGAAAUGACUCAGAUGGAAGUUCUGAUCCGGAACAAUACGAAAGAAACGAUUGAAAUGAGCCUUAAUGUUACAUGCAAAGAUGUCGCUGGCGAGAAUUGCUUCGAGGGAAAUAGCGCUACCGUCCUUUGGGCUGGUAUGAUCCCUGUUCUUUUUGCUGACUUUCGUUGCGCUUAUUGCAUGCGAAUCGCGUAAUUUAUGUGUUCUUACAAUUCCUUUUUUCUCCUGUAGGUGUACUCGGUGACAUCAAUCUGAAGGUUCCACCGCUCGAGGAAGUGGCGCAUUCCUUCUCGCUCUACUUUCUAGUCCCAGGAGAUUAUACGCUCCAAGCAGCUGCCGGCAUAACCAAUGCAACGGAUGUCCUCCGCGCUCGGGCGAGGGCGGACUCGGCGGAGGAGCCAAUCUUCUGCCGUGGCUCCCCCUUCCACGUCCGCGUUACCGGAACGGCUUAGGAUUCCUCCAGUUUCAGCAUGUUUGAGUUACAGACAAAUGUUAUUCCAAGUAUAUUCCUGCAGCUGUAGUUGUAAAUUUGUUCUGUAUUCUUUCCAUCGACGAGAUUGAGCUACUCAACAGAUUGCAUCUGCUACGCGGCCGCUUCUUUUUUUUUUUUGGUAAUUUGUUCACCCGAAUAAAGAUCAUGGUUACCAUUAUCCAUUGCGUAUGUUUCUUAGAUUUCGUUUGGGAUUGUGGAGAGAUUGUGUUACAUACGGUGAGAAUACGAUAGAAAAAUAUUCUGUUUGUCGAAGUAUAUUCUUAUAUACUUUUAUCCUAUUUUUAUUUUAUCUAAUUACAUCUUUAGGAUCUUAAUACCAAAUUAAGCUUUACACCAAAUUAAGCUUUACUCGAGACGUGUAGCAUCAAACUGACUAUCUUAUGCCUAUGCUAAGAUAGAUUGGUUGCAACUGUAUUUUAACUUUAUUACUUAACUUUAUUACUUAAUCAAUUACAUAUUAUUAAAAAAUUAAUUUGCUUUAAUUAUUUCUUGAACACAAACUUUUACAACUUAUAAUGUAUGACCGAAGCAUUAAAUCCCAAAUCUUUAAACCAUAUUCUCUGCUCGGAUGUCGAGAAUACCAUAAUAACCAAUAAAAAGAUACCUAAAACUACAAAAAUAUAUCACUAGUUCACAAAUAUUAAAGAAGCGUAAGAGAUGGCAUCCAUGUUUCACAGAGAAAUCCGGAUUCAAAUUACUAACCCAGCUAUUAUCGAAGGUAUGAGAUUUCAACAAUACAAUUACAUACAUAAACAAGCUUUUAUGAAUCUACCAUAGCAAGAUAAAACAGAAUAAACUUCCCAGUCCAAGAAAAAUGGCAUUUUUUUUUUUGUUUAAUCUCCACUUCCAAAUAACAACUAGACCAGGUAAUCAUUUGGACACAAUAGAAUGAAACAAAAAAAAAAAAAAGCACACAUAUAAACUAGCUUAUAGCAUACAGAAUAAGCUUUCCAAAAUUUAUCUAAAAAAAGAAACAUGGAAUUAUUACUAUAUAUAUUUACAACCGCAACUGUAAAUCCUCUGGAAACCUUUUGAUGGUAGUAGUAGUAAGAGUCAUGGAACAUACUGAUAGAACAUAUUGAUGAUAGAAGCGAGAAGUACAAACAUCUCUCAAUCAUUUUUGUGCUUGAGCUUGUCCCUUUUGGGAAAGGGAAGCCCCCAUAGAACGCAACCUGUUGGCAAUCUCCGUGAAGCUCGGCCUCUCGGACGGUUCGGACAACCAGCACUGCUCCAUCAGCGACCUCCAGUCACGAUCACACGAAUCGGGUACCGGAGGCCGUAGAGUGUUGCUCACUAUUCCACCUAUUUUGGAAUGAAUUAACUUUUCAGUAUGAGGGCUGUAUAGAAACUCGAGAAGUUCACGGGUAUCGAAAAAUCCUAAUAAGAGAUUAGAUGAAGGAGAUCUUCAAAUGCCCUAAUCCCUUUGUAUUAGGUUUGAUUCCACUUCACCCCCUUAUGGUUGCUGUUAUGAUUGCCACCAACGACAUUAUGUUAAAAGUCAUCGCAAAUUGAGCAUGUGGCACUCAUAUCGCUGUUUAAAACUGUAGAAAUAAAGAUGUAAUUGGUUAAUCUUGUUAAUCCUCAUUUGCACGGAUUUAAUGAGUCACGUGGAUUAAACCGGAGGGUGGUCAAGCGUUAUCAUCUGAAUCACUGGGACCAGGAGUUACGAGUAAAAUCAAACUAUACCACAACUAUACCACAACGAGGGUAUCUGAAGUUUUUCCCAUAAAAGAACACUUAUGAUAGCUCCGCAGUGCAAAUCAGCAUAAGGAAAUACCUAUGAUAGCUCCAUAGUGCAAAUCAGCAUAAGGUUCAUCUCCAGUAAGCAGUUCCCACAUCACAAUUCCAAAGGAGUAAACAUCGACCUAAGAUUACAUGCAUAAAGAUAGGAUAAGAUAAGCCAAAUAAAAUAAUGAAAAUAAAAAAAGAAAUCUAUCUCAACUGAGAUUAUUUGAGCUAACCUUUUCAGAGACAAGACUACUACUGCCAUUUAGAAGCUCCGGAGCCAUCCAGGGCAGAGUUCCCCGCACUCCACCGGAUAUUAGGGUUUGGCGUUUAACUUUUGAAAGGCCCAGAUCACCAACCUGCAGAGGAGAAAGAAGCAGAUAAAGUAAAAAAAAAAAAAAGGCUACUUCACACGGAAAACUUAGUGACGUACUACUAUUACUACAACUAGUACUACUACGAUUUCAUAACUCGUGUUGAUAGCACAGAGCGCCGGAUGGAGCAGCUAAAGAAUACAAAAUGCUCAAACGUAAAUCCCUAUACUCUUGGUAAAUACGGUAAGAUAUUGCAAAAACAAGCACAAUACGCAAACAUCACACGGUAUACUUAAUUUGUAAGUAGUGUCUGGUGCUUUUAGGAAGGCAGGAAGGAAGAUGGCUCACAUAAUCAGUUUAGAAGCACAAGAUAGCAGAUAAGCCAGAAUAUUACGCGACAAACAUAAAUAAGUAGACAUUCAUGUAUAACAAAAGGUUUUUCCAAUCUUGCAUGACUAGGAAUUUCCAUAUUUUACGCUACCAACAGUAAAGCAGCAUUUUCCACUCCAUAUGCAGUAAAUCUUAGGACUGAAUAAUAGCAAGCUAUUUACCUAAUUUAAUCUGAAAACAAUGGCGGUGCAACUUAAUUUUUGACAGCAUCGUACCUAUAUAAACAAUCAACAAACCACACUGUUUUUAUCUUAAACACAUGCUCUCUUUCAUAACAUUUGCAUAGAAAUCUAUAAAUCUGAUGGUUGUUGAGAUAGUCUACUCUAGAACAUUCUCCUUCAUCUUUGAACUCUACCAUCUUAGAAAGAGAGGCUUGGCCAUCUCGACUGGACAAGCACUAAUAAUCCCAUAUACGAGCAGUGAAGCAGACCCACGUAUUAGCAUGCAUCGGUCUAUACUAAGCAAAGGACAUUAACCGACAUCAUUUGUAAUAUUAAUUUAGUGAAAGAGGAAGUAACUAAGUAUUUAUUGAUAUGUAGGAAUACUUGCUACUUUAUCAGAACCUUCCAGAUAAUAAAUGGAAGCAAGACAACAUGUAAUGGAAAUCAUACAAGAAUAAAAUUCACACUUAUUGCAAGCCGUAAGCACCAUGUAGUACGAGAAUAAGAGUUUCAAUAGAAAUCAUACAAGAAUAAAGUUCACGCUUAUUACAAGCCGUAAGCACGAAGUAGUAAGAGUAAAAGUACUGAAACUCGAUAGCCAUAAAUGCUCUUCAUUAAAGGCAAAAUCUAACUCACCCAAGGAGACUGGAGAGAUAGGAUUUUGACAGCUAAUUUAUCCAUAUAUAUUUUAAUUAAUCACAUAAAAGAGAAGCAUUUCGAUUUUCUGGUGAGUAGCAAGCUCCAUGGUGUCUAUGAAAGCACAUCAAUUUGAUGAGAGCUACAAACAUAACUUUAUCUCCACUAAUACCAAAAAUGGCAAACCAGCGCAAAAAACUACUGUUAAAGGAUCCAAGGAGGCUAAAAUAUAUGCAGCUGUUUCCCCUGAUUCUGAGAGACUUUCCACAACACACCCCCACACAGUACAACCUUAUAAUUUGCCAAGGCUCACCACAGGAAAAAAAAAAAAAAAAUCAAAAUAGUUAUAAAUAUUAUGAGAAUAGCUAGAAGCACUUUUCUUCCUGAAAAAGAUCCUUCAAGAAACCAUUUUCCAUAUAACCAGAGUAAAGUACCUUGCAAAUUGGACGUUGAGGAUCCCGUAAAUUGACAAGUAAAUUAUCGCUUUUCAAGUCAAAGUGCACAAUAUUCUUUCCAUGCAAGUAUUCCAUCCCAAAUGCUACAUCCAUUGCAAUAAGGAGGCGUUUACGACGAUCUAGUAUCCUGCAGACAAAAGUUAAAUCAACACUUAAAGGAUCAAAAUAGGUCAACAGGUUUAAAAGCGAUGAAAAUAAAGAUAUACUUGUCAUUUCUUUGCAAAGCCUGUCGAAGAGAACCAUUGACCAUGUACUCCGUCACUGUUGCAACAGCUCCCUCUGGGCCGUCAAGAACAACACCAUAAAAAGCUACUACAUUUGGAUGGUGCAAGUCUGCAAGUUUGGAAGCUUCGUUCCAAAAAUCAGCCCUCUGAAAUACAUAUGGGCACGAUCAGAAAAAGAAGAAGCACAAGGAAAAAUCUAAUGGCAUCAGCUACAGACCAUGCGCUCUUGCUCUGAUGCCUUCCCAGAAAAGCAUCUAUCAUUGAUUCUUUUUAUUGCGACAUCUGAUCCUCUCCAUUUCCCAUGAUAGACGGUGCCGAAAUUUCCAGAACCUAGCUCCCGCAAUACUUCAAGAUCACUAUUUUUUAUUAUCUACAAAGAUGAGAAGAAAAAGAAACUGUAAGCUCUCUACAUACAGGCUGACAAGUACAAAGUAGCAUUUGUUAAUAUAUGCCAGUUUACAACCUGAAGGCGGCCGAUGUCAUCCGAAAUAGGAAUGCCAGGGCUGGUCUUAUCUAAUUGAUUACCCUUAGUGUUCUGAAUCAAGAUAAAUAAUUAGUAUCAAUCAAGAACCGGUAUAUGAAAUAGUAGAGAAGAAUAGUAGGGUUUCGUCACCUCAGAUUUUGGAUCAACUAUGCCCCGUCCUGAAUCUAUAUUAUCCUCAACAAUUAUUGGAUUCUUGUCAGGAACAGCAGUGGCUUUAUUAGUUUCUCGAGGAUAGAAACUAGGAUCAGAAGGUACAGGCGACUGAAGUACUGACGCUGCUACACCUUCAGCGACAGCUUGCAGUUGUUGUCUGACGCGCUCUUCUCCCGAGCCUUUCAGAAAAGAAUAAAGAAAAAAGAGGAGGAGGUGCAGAUUAUUAAUCAUAACAAUCAAAAAGUAAAUCCUAUUACCAACCAAGAAAGAGGAAAACAAGAACGUAGACCAACCUUCUGUGACUUGAACAAGAUCUUUGGUGGAAUCCUUGUUAGGAAAGUCUGAAAUAUGUGGAACGUUGCCUUCUUCUAAGAGAGAAACUAUAUUUGAUCCAUUACAAGUACCCAAAUGGUUUUCUGCGUAUGAAUCCUUUGCCACAAUGGGCUCCUUAUUAGCCAAUAUACUGGGUUUUGGAGGUGGCAAGUGUGUACUCUCUAGAACUUUCCACGGGUCUUGGUUGGAGAAGAGAGAGUUCGAGGAAUUGGAUUCCUGGAAAGUACUUAUAGGCUCUGUAGGAAUAGUAGAACUCAUCCCUGGAAAUUGAGCAUUUCCACUAGAAGGGACAGCAAAGUUAUUAAACAACUCGCCUGGAUGCAACUUAGGAGCCUCAUCUUUCUGAUCCGGCAUGGCAACCAGAUUGGUACCGCUAUAUAGAGGAGCAUUAACACCAGCAUAUACAGGCCUAACAAGGAGCCUCUCUUUAGGAGCUGACGGGUCAAUGCCAACUCCAAGAUUGUUAGGGAACGGUCCCUGGUUUCCAAUCAAAAUUGUUUCUUGCUGCAUGCUGGGCUGAACACUUUGCAUGCCGGUGACUUCAAAGGUGACAGGCGGCCAUUGUUCGACAGGUUUAACAUAAUUUUCUGGAGAAAUGAAUGCCGAACUCACAUUAGGAUCACCAGUUAAUGUAGCAUGCCCUCCAACUUGAGGUCUCACUGUAUAACUAGUCUCUGAAACAAGAGGAGAACUGUCGACUUUUCCAUCAGAGGCAAAGCCAGAAGGAGCAAGCCUAUGAGAUUCAGAAUUUCCAGCAUGACCCAAAUGAAGAGCCUGUAUUCUUCCAUCAACAGCUUGAACAUAUCUAAUCGGGAAUUGAGCGACAUGAUCUUGUAUGGGAUCUGAUGGCUGGAAAUUCACAUUCUUUACUUGACUAGCAUCAACACCAGGCUGCUUAGAAAAGACUCCCUGCUUAACCCCGUAAUCGUAAUGCAAUUGAACAGGCUGCAAAGUCUGCCAGUGCUGUUGGUAAGAAUUCUCACCAUGAGACUCUAGAAUAUUGCUUAAAAAUGCUCCAUUGCUAGUCACAACCUGGUGAAUCAAAACCCUAGAAGGGUCGACAGUCUCUGAGCCCUGAACAGCCGGCCUCAUGCUGACAUGUGUUUCUGGGUUCUGAGAGAAUGCAUAAACCCCUAAUUGAGAUGCCGGUAUGGCACUCGCAAUUCUUGGUUCUCCCACCUUAGAACCCACAGCUCCACCCAAGUUGGGACCGCGUUUUGGAUCCUCUGAACGUUGACUGUAGAACACCGGGCUGGGUUCAGUGGUGCUGCUCGGAGAUGAACCCCCCUGUAUCAUUGUUUCCGAAUGGACAUGCGGCAGCGCCUUUUGACACAUAGCGCAAUCAUCAUACUUCAAUGUCGCAGAAUUUGCCGGGGGCGGCGGCACGCCCUGCUGCAUUCCAUAGUUCUCGGUAUUCUGCUGCUGAAGGUAUGCGGGAGGUAAAGGCGGGAACUGCGAAAGUGGCUGCAAAGCCUUAUGACUCUGAUCAGUAGAAGGCUGAACAGGCCUUCCCCCAUAUGGGUUUUCUGCAGCAUAUUCCACCCGAGCCUGGGCCGGCUUCAAAUUACCAACUUGAGAAGCCGGCAUAGCUGCAGUGAUCGGAACCCUGCCAGACAUGUAUGGAUUCAUCUGUACAGGGACUACAUGUACAGGUUGAGCCCCACCUCCAAUCCCCAUUUGCUGGGGAUUAACAUACUGAACUUGAUGAGGAUCUACAUAAGCUUGAUGAACAGGAAAACUAGGCUGAUCCUGCCAAACCAAACUAGGAUUUUGAACAGGAAAACUAGUUCCUAGGCCGGAAGCAUUACCGCCAAAGUACCCCCCGGAGCUAUCCACAAAUGCGACGGGAUUGGAUCCGCCGCCGCCGCCCCCCACAUACGCCAUCUUCAGCGCCUCAUCGGAGGCAGCAACAGUAGGAGAGCGAAGAGAGGGCGAGGACACACCUUCGAUGUUUCCGUCGGCGGCCUCGCCUGCGACUGCGCCGUCCGAAUUCUGCGUGGAGGACGCCGCACUCGCGACGCUCUCCUUCCUCCGCACAGCACCCCCAGCUGCAUCCGGCGCCGCGGCGACUCCGUUCACAGCUUCGAUGUACCGCUGGCUCGUCUCGUCGGCGCCGCCGAGGUGGGCGCCGGGAUCGGCGGCGGCGUCGGCGGGGGUGAAGAGGAAGACGCGGAGCUUCGCGGAUCCGUCGGGCGCCGCGGCGGCCACCUUGUCGUGCUCCUCAAUCAUGUUCUCCAGGUCCUCGGCGCACGACACCGAAACGAGCGCGUCGAGGUCCUCGCCGGGGAGCUGGUACUUCACGGCGACGGCCCCCGCGUCGUCGGGCUCCCCGUCCUCGUUCCCCCGCACCACCCCCGCCAUUUUCCUCAUGAAAUCGGCGAAGGAGACGUCCUUGGCGACGGAGAUGAGCCGCGUGUGGCCGCACACGUAGCGGAGCGCGCCGUCGCUCGGCCGCGGCAGGAUCCGGCCGCCGUAUCCGCACAGGAGCUUCACCUUCGCCGCCGCCCCCGCCCGUAGAGGUUCGUCGGCGGCGUCCCCUCCUCCUCCUCCUCCUUCCCCUCCCCCUCCACCGACGCCGCCCCAGGGAGGGGGAGGGAUCAAGGACUCGGCGGGGGAGGCGCCAGGGACGAAGACGCGGGAGAAGGGGCCGGUGGCGGGGGGAUCGGAGGGGGAGGAGACGGGGAGCGCCGUACGAUUGAGGAUGGAAGCGGCGCGGAGUUCCUUGGGGAGGGAGUUGGGAUCGAUCGCCAUUGGAGGAGGGGGGAUCGAGCUCGCGCUAGAGUUUUGGGGAGAAGGGUUCGGGAGAAACCCUAGAUGAGGAGAGAGGGAGAGAGAGAGAGAGAGAGAGAGAGAGAGAGAGGAGGCGAAGAAGACGAAGAGCGAAGUAAACAGAAUGAGCGAAGUACCUGGGAGUAGCAGGCGAGGACGUUGGGAAAUAAAUAAAUAAAUAAAUAAAAUUAUAAAUAAAUAAAACAUUAAAAUUUAAUAAAUAAAUGAAUAAUAAAUGGAUAAAAUGAGGAUUUUGUCGUUUUUACACAAAAAUGAUAAAUAUUUCGUUAUUUACUUCUUUACAAAGUUAAAAAUAUAUGGAGAGCCCCUUACCUAUGUGAACUUUCCACAUAGAGCACUCAAUUUUUGUUUUUCUUGUGAAUUUCUUUUUAUUUUUUUAAGAUUUUAGUAGUAUUAGGUGAAAAUUUGAGGAUUUUAUCAAAUUUAAUAACUUAAAUUAUUUUUGAUAAAUAAAAUUAGAAUGAUUAAUAGUUAUUUACCAAUAAAGUCACAAUUUUAAUUCAGCCAUAUAUAAAAAUUAAAUAAGAAGGUAAAAGGUAAAAGCCUAUAGCUGCGGGGGUUACAUACAUUUUUACCAUCCAAAAAUUAUAAGUUAGGAGAUUUUAAUAAAAAAGUAAAAGUUUGAGGACUGUUUUUAAAAUUUUUAUUGUUGAGGUGCUUCCUUACAUUUUCAUGAAAAAACAAAGAGAGAAACGUAUGUCGACUUUGGGAAAGGCGGUGGAGUCAAAGAGAAACUGAAAUUCAAAAAUGCUUUUCCUCUUUUUUAUUACUUAGUAUAUUUUUUUAAUUUUUUCUAUUUUUGUAAAGGGUAAAAAAAAAGAAUUUGUAAAAGACUUAGAAAAUAAUUUUAAAAUAGACUUAAUCCGUCUCGAAUUGGGCGGUAUAUAGUAACCAAAACUAUAAAAAAAAAUAAUAUGUUCUGAAUCCGUUCUCAUUCGCCUUUUUAUUAUUUUGAUUCUUCUCAAUCUGUUAAAAUUUCAUCAAAAAAAAAAUUUACUCUCAUUUUGAUCCACCGUAAAUGAAAUGAUAAGAGAGAACUCGCUAAGAAAAUAGGAUAGAAAGUGAUAACUAAGGACUAAUAAUAAUAAUAAAAAACUUCAAAUACCACUCCUGUGGUUUUACACUUUCUCACUUUAGUACCAUGUAGUAAAGUGCAUCAAUUUAAUGUCUCGUGGUUUUAUUUUUAUCUUUUCAUUAUUAAUAUCACUAAUUUUUUUCGUUAAAUCGGUGAUAAAGUUAAAACUAAAAUGUGCUAAAAUGAAUAUUCUAUAAAUUUAGGUAGAGUAUCUGAAGUUUUUUGUAUAUAAUUUAACGAAAUAUUAACGGAGAAGCUGACGAAAAGAUAAAAAUAAAACCAUACAACACUAACUUGAUACACUUUAAACCACAGAGUACUAAAGUGAAAAAGUGCGAAACUACAGAAAUGGUAUCUGAAAUUUACCCUUAAUUUUAUAAAAUAUAGAGAUUAUAAAUGAAGAACACAUUAGCAUCUUUGGAUGCCAAAAUGGAAUAAAAAUCUUUUUUUUUUUUGUUUAAGGAAAAAAAAAAGAAAAAAAAAAACAAGCAAAGUGAUUAUCACAAAGAUGUGGACUACACACUACAUCAAGCUUCUAGUGUAAGGAAUGUUCCCAUAAAUAGUAGUCACAAAAUGCCAAAAAUGUAUGGUGACCCGGUCAAAUAUAGGACAUUUUGAAAUUACCCCCUAAACUUUAAACUUUUUUUUUAAUUAAAUUUAGUCCCAAAAAAAGUAAAAAAUUCAUCAAACUUGUUUAUGGCUUUAUCAAAUUUAAUGGUUUUAAUUUUCUUGUAGCAUAUAAAAUAGAAAUUGUUAAUGAUUAGUAGCUAAUAGAAUAUAAAUUUUUAACCAAAUAUUCAACUAACAUUAUCAAAAUAAGUCAAUUAUAAAAAAAUUAGAAGUUCAGAAACUCUAAAUCAAAAAAAUGAUAAAGGCCAAUUGGUAUUGAAAUUCAUCUAAUAUUAAUUGGCAAAAUAGAGUUCGGAUGAAAAUAUAUAUAAUUUUUUUUUUUGUUUUUUUAUCAUAUCACAAAAAAUAUACCAUUUUAACUAACUCAUUAAGAUAUUAUUUAUGAAAUAAAAAAAAAAAAAUUUAUUAUACUUUCUUACUACAUAUAGGGGCCGUUUGGUUAAAUGUAAUUAUAAAUGCAGUGUAGCAAGAGAUGCAUGCAGUUGGAAAUACAACAGUUAUAACUAUAUGAAUCUUGUUUGAUUAGAUGUAGUAGAAAGCGCUUAGUAGAAAUAAUUUGUUUGGUUGCAUGCAGCUGAGAAAUAAUUUUUAAAAUUUUAUUUUAUAUAUAUGAUGGUGAGAUUACCUCCAAUGUAAAAAAGAAAAAUAAUUUUUGUUUAAAAAAUAUUGAGGAGGUAAGCAUACUUUUUAUUUAAAAUUACUCUCUCCAACUGCUGUAGUUGGAACUGCGGCUAAUUUAGGCGCAGUUCGAACUGCUGCAAUUGGGCCUCCUCCUGCAGUUCCUACUGCAGCAGUUGGAGUUAAAUACAUCAAAUUAAACACGAAAUUUGCAUUUACAUACAGUUACAACUGUAGUGCAGUUGCAACUACAUGCAACCAAACGGCCCCAUAAUGCAAUACUAGUGAAGUUACCAGCACAUUGCGGCGUACUGAUGCUAUAAGAGACAGAAGAUUUACAAAGUAAAAUAUUUUAAAAUUUUUUGACUUAUCAUAAAAAAUCAAUAAAUAUAAACAGAACAUAUAAAAUGGAUAUAGUAAAAUUUAUAAUUUCAGCAAAUAAAUUACAUGUAAUAAUAAUAAAAAAAGCAGCAAUAAAAUACUAUUCCAUAUGCACCUUAAUUGUGCUGCCGAUAUCAAGAAGGCGAAUCCUGCUCUCCACUUCUCAUUCACCGCCAUUGUCAGCGUCGAGCCCCUCUUUAGUCACGGCAACACAUAUUUUUUUUUUUUUUUUUGCCUCAUAAAAGAAGUGGUUCUACUAUUAUUGACUAAUUAAACAAGUGGCCCUAUUAUCCAUUUGAAAUGGAUAUGGUGAAAGGUAUAUUAAAUCCUUACAGGGAAUGGAGUGGGUGUUGGUGGAUGGCUAAGUCUCCUCUCUCUCUCUCUCUCUCUCUCUCUCUCUCUUGCAACAGCAGACUGCCGACAUCACUAGAUCUAUUUUUGCCAGAACUCCUUCCUUUCAAUGCCAUCAAUUGUGUGGGGCCAACCAAAAUAAGAAUACAGUCUGGAAUAUAAAAAAACUAAAACAUUAACUUCUAACAAAUUAAACUAUUUUAAGGAGCGAAUAUUAUUUAAUCUGAUAUCAGAGAAGAACGUGAGGAGUUCAAAUCUUAUCAAAUUCUUAUUUAAGUUGAUGUUUUAGGUCUAUCGAAAUAUCCGGAGUAGGGAUGUCACUGGGUCGGAUUCGGGGCGGAUUUUCAAAAACCCGAAUCCGAACCCGACUCCAAACCCGAAAUCCGAACUCGAACCCGAAAAUCCGAAUCCGAAACAAUUAUUUCUCUUUUCAAUAUUUCAAAAUAUAUUAUAUUAAAUUUAAAAUUUCAAAAUACAAAAUUUAAAUAUAAUAUCAAAUUUUCAUAUGCAUAUUAUAUAAUGUAAAAUAAAUUCGGGUUCGGAUCGGAUUCGGGUAUAGUCAAAAUUCAUAUCUGUAUUCAUAUCCAUCGGGUUUUUGUUUUUGAUAUUCAUAUUCGAAACCAUAUCCAUUUAGUAUCAGAUAAAUUCGCUCCGUUCGAAUUCAGGUUCGAAUAAAAUUUCAGGUACCCGUACCCAUUGACAUCCCUAAUCUGGAGUGAGGAGAAAAAGAAGAGUGCUGCUUAUUUAGCUCUUAACUAAGUUCUCCUUGAGAUAUAGUUCUUAAUUUUUUUUUUUUUUUUGGUGGAACUAUAAAAAUUAUAUCUUAAUAAAAAUUUGAUCAUUACAGCAUGGUAUUAUUUACAGAAACAAAUGAAACAUUACUAAUUGUUUUUUUUUUUUUUUCCUCAUUGACUUUAUAAACCAUUUAGCAAAUGGAAAAGUCUAAACCUGUUGUAGUUACAAGAAGUCGAAAUGCAGUUCCGAGAUUGAAAAAUGAGGAUUCUAAUCUAGUGUUUCUGUUUAUGACAUCGCAAAAAUAAGCUACUGAAGAUGCUUCUUCUAAAAGCAUUACUUAGAUAACAUCUUAUCAAAGAAUUAAUAUCAUAUAUUCGACAACAGAAUCAAACAGUUCGACAACGACACUAAUUACUUUUGAAUAUGGUGUUAUAAGUGGUCUAUUUCUAGCUCCAGGUAAAGAACCAGGAAAUUAAGAAAAGAUCUCAAGUUAAAUUACAAACAGUAGUGUUAUUUUCUAAAACCUUAAUAUUAAACUUUGUCAAAAAAUCAGGCCCAGUAUCCUUUUCUUUUAGUGAGACAAAAUAAGGCCAUAGACAUUCCCUUUUUAGGCCCAAUAAUAAAAGGACAUCUGUUGACUAUUUAUUAUUGACUAAGGUUUAGUUUGGUAUUAAGCCUCAUCUAACGCUAUUAGAUAAAAUGUAUAAAAUGGAGUUGGGGUAAAAGCAUAUAGGGAUAUACUUCUGCGUUCUCUGGUGGGACCGCGGAAAAUAUAUCGUAACCGACUCAUCGCAAUAUACGGAACACAAUAUUACGUACGGAAAGAAACAGGGUAUUUUUCCAACAUACUGUAUGUAAAGCAAUCUCCCCGCAAUCCCAAACGCUGUAAAGCAAUCUCCCCGCAAUUCCAAAUGAAGCCUAAAAUAAAUUUAACUUUCUGUCCCAUAACAAAUAGGCCCUUUCUGUCCCAUAACAAGAGAUCCAAGAGAUUAGUAAAUUGAAUAAGGUUGUGAUCCACAAUAAACCUAACGGCAAGAGACUUUUACAUUUCAAGUAUUGUUGUUGAAUUCUUAAGUGCCAUCAGCCCUUCCUAUAUAUGAUAUAUCGGAACAAACUUUUGGGACAAUUAAUUAGUGUUUACGAUCCACAACAUCAUUAUAAGAUAUGCAAAAUCAAAAUAAAGGAAAUAAUAAAUAUGUUAUCUCAAAUAUUUUCUAUAAUGUCUAGAUUUUCCAUAAUAUUGUUUUUAUAAAUAAAUAGGUAAGGGGGUGUUUGGUUCUCCGAAAAAUAAAAAAUAAAAAAUAAUUUUCUAACUAAAAAAAAAUAAUUCUCAUCUAUUCGCGUUCAGAAAAAAAAAUUUGAGAAAAAAAUUUUGUUAGAUUUUAUAGAAAAGUCUUCUUUUCGUUUUUGACUUUUUAAUCUGAAAUAUGAAAAUUAUUGAGAGGUUGUUUUCCAAAAAAAAAAAUUUCUGAAAAAACAUUUUUAAUGAUUUUUUGAGAAAUUAAAAACUCUCUCAUGUGUUGGUACAUAUGAUGUGAGAGAUUUUAAUUGAUCCAUAUAAGAUUAAAAAAAAAGAAUUACAUGAAACUAAUUAAAUAUAUGAUUGAAAUAGAAACAAAUAAUUGGAAUAUACAUUUACUACAUGUGACAUUCUGAAACUACACGUAUAUCUUAAUAUCUUUAUAUUUAUGUAGAGUAUUUAUACAAAUUUUCACUUCGCACCAAACAUGCAGAAUUAGUAUAACUUGUCUAAGUGAAAAUCUUCUACUCAGAAUGAUUUGAAGUUACUAAAUUCAGAAUUAUGAAUAAGCGGAAAACUUGGAGUUAUUGAUGAAACCAAAUAUAGAAUGUUAACUUAUGAUGAAACCAAAUAUAGAAUGUUAACUUAUCUUUAUAUCUUGAAUUCUAAACAAACAAACAAACAAACAAACAAACAACUAGGUGGAAGUUAUGUAGAGCGCACCACUAUUUGAUCGAAAGUGGAGUGAAGUAAAGUUAUUUUCUAUUGAAACACUUAAGAUCCGUUUAUUUUGGUGUAAGUAGAGGGAUGGAACUCAAGUUUCACCACUUUCGUUAUUUAUUUUGGUGUAAGUAAAAAAUAAGAAAAACUUCAAAAAUCCCCCUGUGGUUUCGCACUUUUUAUUUUAGUACCCUGUGGUUUAAAGUGUAUCAAGUUAGUACCUUGUGGUUUCCCACUUUAUCACUUUAGUACCCUGUGGUUUAAAGUGUAUGAAGUUAGUACUCUGUGGUUUUAUUUUCGUAUCAAGUUAGUACCCUGUGAUUUUAUUUUUAUAUCAAGUUAGUACCAUGUGGUUUUUAAACCACAUGGUACUAAAAGUGAUAUAGUACGAAACCACAGGAUACUAACUUGAUACACUUUAAACCAUAGGGUACUAAAGUGAAAAAGUGCAAAACCACAGGGUACUAACAUGAUACACUUUAAACCACAGAGUACUAAAGUGAAAAAGAGUGAAACCACAAGGGGGGUAUUUGAAGUUUUUUCUAAAAAAUAUAAUGUAACUCGUUAUGUUAGACCUUCACUUCACUUAUUCUCGACUUCCUUAAUCUUCACUUCACCUACUCUCGAAUUUCUUUUUUUAAAGUGUCGAACUUGACUUCCGCCACACUCAACAUUCUCUAAAAAAUUUAUUAAACAUUAAAUCUAAACUCUAAUUCUUUUAUAAUGGGUUAGAAUUAUCUUAUUUAUAAUAAAUUAUAAUUACCUUUAAAUAAUAAUAAAAAAAAUUAAUUAUAUAAUGGGUGAAACUUUAUAGCGAUAAGUUUACCGCUAUAUUUAGAAGAUAACAAAAUUCACUUACUUACAUCAAAACAAACAAUAAAAUUUAAAAAACUAAUUUCACCAACACCAGGUUAUAUCAAAACAAACAGAAGAAGUAAUUAAAUUUCACUUUCAGACUGUACGAGUUACGUCAAAACAAACAAUAAAAAAUAAUCACACUAUAUAUAUUUCAUAUAUUGUAAUAAAAGUUUUUCUUUAGUUUCACUUUCGUUUCAAACAAGCUAUAUAUUAUAUAUACCAUAAUAAUAAAAAAAAUUAUUACUAGCACAAUUGAUAAAAAUAUUAUUUAAUUUUUGAGAAAGAAGAUUGUGGCCAAUGAGAAUAAAAGAGAAUAAAAAAUUACGACCCUAUAUACAUAUGAUAUUUACAAAUACGUUAAAAGAGAAUGGGAAAAAAAAAAAAAAAAAAAAAAAAACCUUUUUAUGUGAUCCAACACUUCUAUAGCUCUUCGAUCGUGCAAUCCCCCUCUUAAAAUGAAUUGGAUUAAAACUAUGAUGAUGAAAUUAGUAAAAAAAAAAAAAUUAAAUGAAAUUAAAAUUACGAUGAGAUUCGUGCAAAUAGAAUAUAUAGUAAUAAUAUAGUCGUCGUCGUCGUCGUCGUCACACGAGCUCAAACGACGUACUAAACCCUAACCCCUACAUAAAUAAACCAUUGCGUACACACGCACGGGUGAAAGAUCACCUCGAAACCCUAGAUUUGGAUCCGCGCGAUCUCGCCGUUGGUGGCGGCGAGAGGGGGAAGCGGAAGGAGAAAUCGCGGCGGAGGAGCUCGUCGCGGUUGUCGUCGUCGUCGUCGUCGUCGUCGUCCUCGGCGUCGCCAUUGUCGCCCUCGUCGAAGUUGAGGGCGUAGCUGAGCGGGUCGUACCCGAACCCGAACCCGUCGCGGCAGCGGCGGCGGCGGCGGAUCCCGGCGACGAGGCUCCGGCACCGGCGCCACCCCUCCGCCGCCGCCGAGGACGGCGACGAUCGGGGCGCCGAGCGCGGGGCGGCGGCGCGGGGGAAGCAGGAGAGGAGCGAGGAUCGGAGCCGUUGCUUCAGGGUGGCCGACGAUGGAGGAGGAGGUGGAGGAGGAUGCGGCGGCGACGACGACGAAGAAGGGUCGGGUACGCGUCGGUGAUCACAAUAUCUCAUGUCGCUUAACUUCGUUGCUAAAAUUAGGGUUAGGGUUUCGUAUGAUGAACGUGGUGAGGAGGAAGAGGAAGACGAUAGGUUGAGCGUAACGGAAUAGAGAGUAUCGAAAUUUUGUGAUCAUAAAAUCCAUAUAAAUAAAUACUGUAAAAAAAAUAAAUAAAUAUAUUAAAAAAAAUAAUAUUAUUAUUUAUUUUAAAUAUUAGUUAAUAUUAGUAAUAGUGCGUAUACAAUACACUCAUUGUGUGUAAAAAAAAAAUAUAACAAAAUAAAUAAAUAUAUAUAUAUUAUUAUUUAAAGUAAAAAUGUGCUGUACUUAUCUGAACUAUCGAUCAUUUUAAGUUAGCUUCACAAUCUUUCUAAAUUUUGAUUUUAUUAUCCAAUAUUUUAAUUUAUUUCAUUUCAGUCCAUCAAUAAUGUUUUAAUUUCAACAUUAGUAUACUUCAUAUAAUUCUCGCGCUAUAAAUUUAUUAAGAUAAAUAAUUAGUAUAAAUUUUAAAGUCAAAGUAUCAUUAUCUGACCCAAAUGAAACAAGUUGAUAAAUUAGAUAGUAAAUUAAAAUUUUGAAAAAUGCUGAUUCAAAAAGAUCCAUAUUUCAAAUAAGCUAUAUAUAUAUAUAUAUAUAUAUAUUGAUUUUGUAAAGUUAGAUUUAUCUAGUAAAUUUAAGCAGAUUUGAAAACUUAAAUUAUUUAAUCUAAAAGUUUUAUCUGAUUAUUAUCAUCUAAUUUGAUAAAAAAUAGAAAGAAGUAUAGUAGAUUAGUAAAUUUGGUUUAUUAAAAUUUAUUUUUGAUCAGACGUUGAAUCGAUUAUCAGUAUAUAAAUAAAUAAAUAAAUAAAUAAAUAUUAUUGUAAUGGUAUUGUGUAAUAUAUUGGGCUAAAAAAAGAUCAAAUUUUAUUCAAAUCGGGUGUAAUGCACCACAUAAUUAAAAAUAAUAUCAAAUUAAAAUUUUUGAAAAUAAUCUAAUUAUAUACGUUCUAUUAUAUAUCUAAUAUAAACAUAAAUUAUUUUCUAUUUAAAUUAAAUUUGACACACAUUUUAUUAAUGAGAUUUCAAAAUAUUAAGCGGGCCAAUAAAAGCCCGGCCCAGGGAAUGAUAACUUGUCCCCUAGACCCGGUUUAUUGGGCCGGACUAGGACCAGCACUUAAAAUAAAUUUUCAAAAGCCCGGCUCAACGGGCCCGGUCCAGCGAGUAUACUGUUAUUUGUGGGGCUAUUCUUUUUCUACAAACUUUUUUUUUUUAAAAAAAAAGCUUUUACAAAAGUAAUUCAAUUUAUUUAUCACAAAAAUUUAUAAAACUUACAUAACGUUUUUUGUACUCAAUCUUUCAAUUUGUUCUCUUCGAAUACAAAUUUUAAGCUAAUUGUUUACUUUAAUAAAUUUAUAGUUACGUAAGUUACAUAAAAUAUAGUAAUUAAAUUUGUAAAGAUAAACAAAGCAUUCAAAUUUUAAAUUUAAAAAAGUCACUAAUUGGUUCAAAUCAAAUAAAUUAAAAGGUCGGAUAGUAAAAUCAAAUAUUCUGAAAAUCAGAUAAUUAGAUACAAAGAGUAAUAUUUUGAUACCUUUUUUUUACCAUUAUUUUUUUUUUCAAUUUUGUAAAGGGUAUUUUGGUACUUAAAGAAUGUUUUGAUUUACAUCAUAAAAAUAUGAUACAAAGUUUCUCUUAAUAAUGGAACAAAAUUAAUGAAUUUCAUUGGAUCCAAAAAUUAUUUGAUAAACCCGAUCCAAUUAGCUACCAAAAAUCCUAGCUAAAAUCCAAAAAAAAUAAUUUUAUAAUAAAGAUGUACUCAUGUACAUGGACCCUCUAAACUUUGGCAGUUUUAUAAAUAGACGUCUGAACUUUAAAUAAUAGCAUUUAGGUACUUUAAAUUUAAUCAAAUAAUUUAAUCCGCCUCUCCACCAUUCGAAGUUUUUACUUACUCGGUCACUUUAGAGUCGCUUCUAUUGCAUAUAAUCUUAUAAAAGAAAAAAUUCUUUAAUUAUGACGUUUAAAAUUAUCAAAAUUAGAAAAAAUUUAGAUUUUUUUGUGUGUGCGCUUUGAAGCUAUAUAUAUAUAUAUAUAUAUAUAUAUAUGGUAUAAAAGGGAGAAAUUUAUUAAACUAUUUCAUAAAAUAUUGGAGAUCUAAAUGCAAAAAUUUAAAAUUUAGGAGUUUUUUUUUUUUUGCAAAAAUAUUAAAGUUUCCUAUUUUGAGGUCCCAGUGGGGCCCAUGUUACCCACAAGUACAAGCAAGAUGAGUCACCAUACCAUGAUUUGAUUCCUUGUGUCCCCACGUGACACUGUUGCAAGAGGAAACAAUGCAUAUGGAUAUGGCCCAUAUGGGAGAGGGUCUACCAAUUUUUCGCCCGCACCCGGUGCAUCGUGAUUCCAUGCACCGCCAAUUUAUCAACCUUCCAUUAUAUUCAGAGCAUAUUUGGUUCAUGAUCAGAAUCAAAUCAAAUAUCGAUCAAUGCUAAAAGCAACGAAUCAUUACCGUUACAUGCUUGACUCAAGGCUCCUAUUUUACUUUAGAAGGACGGUCAGGGUAUAGUUUCCUACAACCAAACUGUCAGCACGAAAGAUAAUUAUUCUGAGUAUUAUCCUUGACCUCAGAGCUUUUCCUAUCGAAAAUGUUCUUAUAUAAAAGAUGAUUGAUCAGUUAUAUAUAGUACGACCAAACCAACUUAGCUAAGGUGGAGAAACUCUUUAGUUUGAAAAUAGAGAUCUAAGGUCAAAAUUCAGAUUAAACCACUUUAGGGUUUAAGAUUUAUAGAGUUUACAUAAGAAUACUGAAUAAAAACACUGAUCGAUCGAUAGCGCACAGAUCUGUAGAUACAGGUAUGCAUUGUAUGCAAGCAAUAAUUUGCAAAAAAAUAUGGUGGGAGACAUUACAUCACUCAUGUCACUGUCACAUUCACGAGUGAGUGGAUUUGUUGUGUUUUUUUAUAUAUAACUUUGUUCAAUAGCGUUUUCACUGUGAAGUGGCAACAAAAACACUCCAUCUAUGUAAUUCUUAAUUUUCUAUGCCCCACCACACGCAUCAGAUUGAGUGAUAUGCCCCCAAAAAAAAAGGACAAUGAAAUCUGUAUUAUACUGGUGGUGGAUUUUGAUAUUUUGCCAACACAUUAUUUUAUACUUAAGCUGAUAGACGGAAAAAUAUCAGCCUUUCAAAAACUUACCUACUUAGUAUGAAAAAUUCGACAGGUAUUAAAACUAUUUCUGAAUCCAAGAUUUUAAGUGUCCGUCGGCACGGAUCGUAUCCACCGUGUCGUAUCAUGCCAAUAAAAUAGCGGUACGAUACAGAACCCGUACCGAUGGCACAGUUCAGAACCCUCUAUUAUUUUAAAUUAGUAAGUAAUUUUCUCAAUAAAGUUUAAAAGAUGUGAUAAAAGGAUAUAAUAAAUAUUUAGAAUAUUUUGUUGCAAAAGAAAAUAAAUAUUUAAUGCUAUUAUGUGUCGGCACACAAGAAUUUUUUGAUCGGUACGUAUCGGCACGGCUCGGCAUAUACUGUGCCGGUAAGUUUCCUGUACGAUCCCGUGUUAUGACACUUAAAUUCUUGUCUGAAUCAUUCUCUAUCAAACUGAUCUCCGUGUUUACUCUGAAAGCUUAAAAUGGAGGCAUAAUUUUUGUAUCCUAUUCUCUCACAGUAUAAAAAGUAACUGACUAUUCUAUAAAAGCUUAAGCUAUCAGUAGAAAUCAAUUUUGGGCAGCAACAGCAGUUAAUGAGUGCAGCAAAUAACUGCUGCACACAACUGCAAGGAGCCAAAACCACCAUAACUGCUGCCAGCAGCUGUAAUUUUCCCAGGAAGAACCUUCCUGGAAGGUGGCCAGUCCUCUCUUCCAUGUUCCCCACCAAAAACCCUUCUCUCUCUCUCUCUCUCUCUCUCUCUAAAAAUAAAAUAAAAUAAAACAAAACAAAAUAGUGCUUGUACCAAUGAUGUGUAUAAGCACUUUUCGUACACGGCACCUCUGAAAAUUUUGCCACAGAGACCUCAAAAUCAAAAUCUAAAUCACGGAAUACAUUAUUUACCGAUUAAAAGAGUCUACGCGUCAAAAUUAUGUACCUUAAACUUUUCUCCCUCACCAUUGAUUUUUUGAGACUCCCAUCACUUACAAGUUUUUAUAUGGAGUGUCGCAUCUAUUAUACUGGAUAGGGUUACUAUACUCUUGUGAAUAUAAAUCUCUUUAUACUUAUAUGUUUUCGAUCAUUGGAUGGAGAUAUGUGCGGUUAGGAUGAUAGUUGUCUCUUAGGUUGAGUGGGUGGUUGGUUGAAUAGUAUGAUCUAACGGGUGUAAAUAAUCAAGGGGGUAUAUCUAACGGCCGAAAAUUUAUGAGUACAAAGAGCCUUAUAUUCAUAAGAGUAUAGUAGCCGAACUCCUAUUAUGCUAGUUUCUGAUUUGCCAUAUAAAUUUAUAAAAAAUGGUAAUUAUUAAAUAUAAAAUAUUAAAAUAAUAUUGAUAAUUUUUUUGCACGAUAUCAUGAGAGAAGUACGUGAGAUCUUGAAUUCUCCGUCUUCUUCUGAAUUCUCUGACAAUUUAAAGUUUCAUAGAAACUGAUUAUUUCAUAAAUUUUAAUGGAAAAGUUUUCAGUGUGCCCCUCUAAAAACACAUAUUUAUAUGAAUGCCUUUACAAAAAUUGAAAUAUCUUAAAUAUCCCUCUAAAUAUAGAAAAUUUUCAAAAAGUACCCUUCAAAAAAAUUUCUUGUUAAAAUCCACACUAACGGCAUCCAAAUAAGCAAAUACCAAUUUUAUCCUUUUCAUAGUUGCCCUUUUAAUUAGCCACUCUAUUAUUUAGUACAUUUGUGCUUUGACCCUUUACUGUAAAAUUUUAUAAGAUGAUUUGAGUGUUUUUAAAAAAUUUUGCAAGCAGUGUUAAAUCAUUUAAUUGUAAUUUCAAAUCUGGUAAGUAAUUUUAUACUCUAUGAUUAGCGAUAAAACUUCAUAAUUUUUCAGUCGAUUUAAGAUAGAAAUAUUAUUCAUAAUAUAUAAAUCUUACAGAAACCAAUAUGAAAAUCUAACUAACUAAAUAACAUAUACAUAUUUCAUAAGUAGGAUAAAUAAUUAUAUUAAAAGCUGAUAUUUAAAUUUAUAAGAUAUUUACAAAAAAAUUAUAACUCAUUACUAAUAGUUCGAACAUUUAAAAGGACAACUAUGAAAAGAAUAAAAUAGAUAUUUUGUCGCCAUUAGUGUGGAUUUUAACAAAACAAUUUGUUCCGAACAAUACAUUUAAAAAUUUUCUAUAUGUAGAGGUGCAUUUAAGAUAUUUCAAAUCCAUGUAAAUAUUUGCCUUUAGAGGGUCACACAGGAAAAUUUCCCCAAUUUUAUUUUAUAAUAAUUAGGGAAAACUUCAAAUACCCCCAUUGUGGUUUCGCACUUUCGCAUUUUAGUACUCUAUAAUUUAAAGUGUAUCAAGUUAGCACCCUGUGAUUUCGCACUUUCUCACUUUAGUACCAUAUGGUUUAAAGUAUAUCAAGUUAGUACUCUAUGGCUUCAUUUUUGUAUCAAGUUAGUACCCUAUGGUUUCAUUUUUCUCUUUUUAUUAUCCAUUUCGAGGUAUUUUUUUCUUAAAAUCAGUGUCAAAGUUAAAAUUAAAGGGUACUAAAAUGAAUAUUCUAGAUACAGUAUCUGAAGUUUUUUGUAUAUAAUUUAACGAAAUAUUAAACCACAGGAUACUAAAGUGAGAAAGCACGAAACCACAGGAUACUAAUUUGAUACACUUUAAACCACAGGGUACUAAAAUGAGAAAGUACGAAACCACAGGGGUACUAACUUGAUACACUUUAAACCACAGGGUAUUAAAGUGAGAAAGUGCGAAACCACACGGGGUAUUUGAAGUUUUCUCUAAUAAUUAUAUAGUGCAUUAUAUAUAUAUAAAUGUACUCAAUGUGGUGGCCAUAAAUAAUUUCCUUCUCUCUCUCUCUCUAAGUUCAACAACUCCCACACCAUGUAUUACUCUUCCACACAUACACACUCUCUCUCUCUCCUCUUCUCACAAAAGAAGAAGAGACCAUUACACAUAGUAGAAUUUACAAUGAAGAUUUAGUACAUAGUUGAAUUUUCAUUCUUAUAGUGACUUUCUAAUUAUCCUUUAUAUAUAUAUAUAUAUAAAUAAAUAUAAGCACAAUUAUUAUAUAUUAAUGGCCAUCAUGGCCGGGAUUCUCGCGGGCUCGGACUCCGCGCGGCGGCGGCAGCAGCAGCGGCAGCGGCUCCGCCAGGCCCGAUCGGCGGCGGAUUCGGCCGCGGUCGGUUCACGGCGAUCAUCAUCAUCAUCAUCAUCUUCUUCUUCUUCUUCUUUGUUAUAUCAUGCAACAAAGGGAACUGAGACUCUGCAUAAUAGUACUGUUGCAACCCUGGUUAGUGGUGUGCUUUAGUUAAUGUACAGAGUUAAUUAUUAUUCUUAAGAUUUGUUAUUAAUUGCCCCUAAUUUGUAUUAUGUGUGGUGGUUUAAUAAUUUUUUUUGUUUUGUUUUGUUUUCUUUUUUUACCAGCAAAUUGUUAGGGGCAAUAAUAAUAAUAAUAAUAAUUACAUGAAUAGAGAGUUUCAUGAUUGGAACCUCGGGAGUGGCGCUCGCGAGGCCAAGGAAAGGUUGGAUGAAAAGCUUCGGAAUCAGAGAUCUUCAUCAGUGGUCAAAAGGUCAAAAAAUUAAAAUUCUAACUUAUGCUUAUAAUAUAAGCGGUUUUAUUCACGCAUUAGUAUAAAUUUUUGAAUUCAAUUUCAGUCUCUUUAAUAUGAUAUAUCAUGUGAAAUAAUAAUACGACACUAUUUAGUCUGAUAUGAUCAUGUAAAAUAAUAAUACGACACUAUCGGAUAGUGUUGGAGCUUAGCUUGAUUUUCAAUCUGGCUAUCUAUAUUACACUUUGAGAUGUGUUUAGUUUACGUUUUGUAAUAUUCCAGUAAUUCUCUAUAUUUUUAUUGAAGAUAUUCAAAUUAUUAUUAUACAGCUCAAAUUAGAUAGUUGCAAAAGCUGUUAGCGAAAUAUAUAAUAAAAUUAUUAUAACAUUCCAGAUGAUAAAAAAAAGAGAAAAUGUCAAACGCCAUUCCUAUAGUUUUGUACUUUCUCACUUUGGUACUAUGUGGUUCAAAGUGUAUCGACUUAGUAUUCCGUUGUUUCAUUUUUUUCUUUUUAUUAUCCCUUCCACUAAUAUUUUUUCGUUAAAUCGGUGACAAAAUUAAAACUAAAAGAUACUAAAGUGAAUAUUCGAUAAACCUAGGUGGGGUAUCUCAAAUUUUUAAUAUAUAAUUUAACGAAAUGUUAAUGGAGGAGCUGACAAAAAGAAAAAAAUAAAACCAUAGGGUACUAAAUUGAUACACCUUAAGCCAUAAGAUACUAAAGUGAGAAAGUGCGAAACCACAGAGGUGGUAUUUAAAGUUUGCCCAAAAAAAAUAGAUUAUCAUAAGUUAUGAGGUUUUCUUAUUUUUAUGCUUGAUAAAAUUCAUUAGUAUUACAUUAAUAAGAAUAUACUAAUUUCUAACAACCCUCAACUCAAACCGCUUGAUAAGUUCGUAACAAACGUGUCAUUGCAAUUUUUUUUGAAAAAGAAAUAAUUAAAGUAUUUUAGUAAGAAGUACGAAAAAUAGAACACAAUACCGAGAUAGUACAGGAGUUUUCCUCCUUACAUUUUUCUCUCUUUUGUGUGUGUGCGCGCGCACGUGUGUGGUAGCAGACGAUAUAGCAUGGUGAGCAUAGUGGGCGCAUUGCAGAAGGAGAUCUUCUCUUAUAGGAAGAGCAGCACGAGGAGGUUCAACUGGAGCAGAUUGGCGUGGAACAAGAAUGUGGAAGCGAAGCCAGAUCACGCGGCUACCGAGUGUGCUGUCUGCCUGGAGGAGUUUAGAGCAGGCGACGAGCUGACCCACCUGCCUUGCGCCCACCGCUUCCACCGUAGCUGCGCCGUGCCCUGGCUCGAAAUCUCACCGCAUUGCCCGUCUUGCCGAACCUGCAUCUUCCCUUCUUGCAGAUAGUACGUAAGAAGAGUAUAAGUGAGAAUGAAUAACAUACUCGCUAUCUUGUUGUUCAAGAUGUAAAUGGAUCCUAGGAUCAACCAAUUUGGACAAAAUAAAAAAGUUAAUGUUCCCUUCCUCUAAGAUUGGUUUUUCUUUUCAUUUAUUUUACUUUGGGAAAACUUCAAAUGCCACUUCUGUCGUUUUACACGUUCUCACUUUCGUACCCUGUGGUUUAAAAUGUAUCAAUUUAGUGUCCCGUGGUUUUAUUUUUAUCUUUUUAAUAUCGAUUUUACUAAUUUUUUUUAUUAAAUCAGUAACAAAGUUAAAACUAAAGGGUACUAAAAUAAAUAUUCGAUAAACCUAGGUGGGGUAUCUGAAGUUUUUUUGUAUAUAAUUUAACGAAAUAUUAACGGAGGAGCUGACGAAAAGAUAAAAAUGAAACCACAUGACAAUAACUUGAUAUACUUUAAACCAUAGGGUAUUAAAGUGAGAAAGUACGAAAUUAUGGGAGCGGUAUCGGAAGUUCACCUUUUUUAAAAAAGGGACAAAAACAGAGAGCAUUACAGUGCAUAAAGAAAGAUUUCUAUCCCAAAAUAUAAAAGAGAAAAAUGUAUCAAAAUUACAAAUGAAAAACUAGAUAUUUAAUUUUCAAACUUUGCACAUUACAAUGACACAGAGUUCAUUUUUCGCAUUUCUCUUUAUACAUUCAUAUCCAGAGGGAUUUGACGCGCUCAAAUAGAAUUGCGAUAUAAAACUUGUUCUCUUCGCUGGAGCUUACGUAAAAAUAUUUCCAAAAUUUUAUAUAGUACUAUUUGAAAUCUAAGUUGGAACUUCUGCUUUAGAGCUUAAAUCUCACUUUAGUAAUCUAUAUUAGCCGAAAUUUUAAAAUGUGUGGUAAUCAAAUAUCCGCAAUUAGUAAUUAAUUACAUAAUGAAUCUUAGCAGCUAAAAUGAGUUUUUUUUAACACCAAUAGGCGGAUCACUUUCCCCGGUUCAAACAGAUCCUUUAUAGGCUCCGUUUGGUUCAGAAAUUAGUAGGAACUAGUUAUACCAGAAAUAGAUACAAAUAUUGAUUUUUGUAAGAAUAAGGGUAUUUUUUUAUUUGGAUUAAAAUGUGAGUAUAAGCUAGAAUUAGAAAAAUUACGUUUGGAUGGUUAUUGGGAAUAAGAGGAAUAGUUGUUAGUUAUAAAUAGAAAAUAAUAAUAUUAUCCCUAUAAUUGAAUUUAAAUUUUUAAAUUUUAAACUUAUGAUUUUAAAUUGAAAUUUGAAAUUUUUAACUUUUAAAUUUUAAAAUUUGAAAUUAAAAUUUAAAAUUAUAAUUUUAAAUAUCAAAUUUCAAAUUUAAGACUAAAUUUAAAUUUCAAAGAUAUAAAAUAGCAAAUUUAAAAUUUAAAAACUAAAAUUUUAAAUUUUAAAAUUUAAAAAUAUCAAAUUUAAAAUUUAAACUAUAAAAUUUAUAAUUUUAAAUUAUAAAUUUAAAUUUUAAAAUUAAAAUUUAAAAUAAAAAAACUCUCUCUCUCUCUCUCUCUCUCUACUCAAGUGGAUGGGAACAAGUUUGUUUUCAACUCGGGUGGGAACACCCGGGAACUAUUGUUUCCAUCCUUACCGGACUGGUAAGGGUGGGAAAAAUAGUUCCCACCCCCCAGUUUUUCUGUUUGGGUAUAAAAUGGGGAUAUCCCCUUAUCGUCUUUAUACCCGAGCCAAACAGGGUGUCGAAGGACACAAAAUAUUUAAAAGAAAAAAAGAAAAAGAAAAGAAAAAAAAGUUAACAAUCAACAAAGAGGGAAGAAAAAGCUUUUCACUUGCAAAAAUUUUGAAUACUGCUGUAAAUAAAUUUUGUUGAUAUGUUUAUACUAUCAUAUAAAAUAAAAAAAAAUGAUUGAUGGACUGAUACACCUACAUCAAAAUUAUUUUAUCAAAUUAUUAGCACACCAAUAAUAUGGAUAAGUACAAUUUUUUAAAAGGAUGUAAAAAUAAAAGUUUUUUUUUUUUACUUAAAAAUGAGAAAAGGGUAGAUAACAACAGCAAAGCAAGUGAUGGGUACUUUCUGGGUGACCAGUCAUUAAAACCAUUCAUUCAUUCAUUCAUUCAAUCAUUAAAACCAACAAUAGAUUCUGAGGAGGAGGAUACCAAAUAAUUGAGGUAAGUGGGGCCCCCUGUCAUUUCAAAAAAUUUAAAAAAGGUUGGGUACAUUCUCAACUUUUCUCAGCAGCAAAUUCACUAUUGUUAUAUGUCACAUAUAUUUAAUACUUUUUAUUAUAUAAAAAUAAAGUAUUAAAUUUUAUACUUUUUAUUAUAUAAAAAUUGUGUGUGUGUGUAUGUGUGUGUAUAGAAGGAGAGAGAAGAGGAGGGUUGGGGGGACACGUGUCACUCUAAGGUCCCCCAAAUUUUUCUUUAAUGUAGUUAAAUAGAUAGAUGUGAUAGCUUAUAGCUGUUACAAAAAAAUAAUUUCUCUCGCAUGUAUUGGGUUUUGGAAUUAACAUCUAUCAAACUUUUGAAGAGGGCUGAAGUUGAUUGAUGUGACUUGCAUAAGGGAGAUAACAAAGACAGACAGUUAUUAUUAUUAUAACAUUAAAUUUGAAAUGAAUUAUUAUAUUUGAAUACUUGUUACCUUACAACCAUACAAUAAAAUACUGGCUCAUAAAUAAUAUUUUAAAAAAUAUUUCGAGAAACUCACAAUACAUUAUAAAUGAGAUUAAUGAAAUAGAGAUUAAAGAGACAUAACACUUAUUAGGGUGUUUAAUUUGGUGGAAGUGGAUGAGUGAAACUCAAAUUCCAUCGCUUUCGAUGUUUAUUUUAUUAUAUGUCAAAAAAAUAAUAUAACUCAAAUUAUAUUAAACCUCCACUUCAUUUGCUCUCGACUUCUCCCUCUUGAAUGCUGAAUUCAAAUUCCACCAUACUUAAUUUUCUCUAAAACAAAAUUAAUCAAAUAUUAAAACCGAAGCUCUACUUCCUUUAGAAUGGAUUAAAAUUACAUUUUUUUUACAAUGGGUUAAAAUUACUUCUAACCACUUCAAAAAAACUCAAACACCACUGCACUCGAAUUACAUUGAAUCUAGAGAUUCGUCGAUCCAAAUGCCCCUUUAGAGGCUUCAGGCUUUUUCAUGUGAGAAAACAUUAGUUUUUUUUUCUGAAUAUGUUCAUAAAGAAAUUAGGUUUUACAUUCAAAACCACAAACAAUAUACAUACUGUAAUAUUUUACAUGGGAAACAAAGAUAACACAAGUCAAUCGUUUCGGUUACUAGGUAGUAUUUUGAUCUGUCACUACACACACAAUGCAGAUUAUGGAUUCCAAGCACAAGAAGAAACCACUUACGCAAUUUGAAAGGCUACAUUGCAACCCUAGUUCUUAAAACUAAACAGCAGAUGACACUUGAGUCUGAAAACUUUAAUUUAUAAUAAUUUCUGACUUAAAACUUCUUAAAUCAUUGCAAUUAGGUUCGAUCGUCAAGCCCGGUCCAACCAAGUUGACAGAUGAUGCUUGAGUCUGAAAACUUUAAUCUAUAGUAAUCUCUGACUUAAAACUUCUUAAAUUGUUGCAAUUAGGUUCGAUCGUCGAAGCCCACUCCAACUAAGUUGACGGAAUGCUGACACGACAUUCUACUAACCGUCACAUCAUCGACACAUUAUUGCCACUUUAAUAUAUGCUAAUGAUAUGGCAUUUUAAUUAGUACCACUCAACACCACAUCAGUAAUGAAGGGGAGAGGAGAAGAGGCAGAUAUUAUUGCCUGCACAAGGUACAGCGGAGCAUCCGUGCACGACAAGCAAAAUCUAAACAAGAUGAUCUUCAAAUCGAAGUCUUAAUCCAUUGGAUGCGAUGUUGCAUAAUUAUAUAGGCCUUUGUAUCAAAACUAGUAAGUUUUGGAAAAUCAUUACGAAGCUCUAGUAAUCUCAAAAUCAACGGCGUGAAAGGGAUUAUCAUUUAAUGCAAGAACUGUCAAAGUAGAUGUCUAAAACAUGAUUUUCAUCUGAAAACAUUUCCUGCAUGGUAGAUCAAAUUCAACGGAUUACAUUCGACUUGAAACUCGGUUAAAAUUUUGCUAAUGACGCGCAUGCUCUGGUGCACCUGGUGAAAGCAAUAAUUUUCUCCCCUUUCUUUCCCCUCCUAGGUAUGUGGUGAUGAAAGAGCAAUAACUAAAAUGCCAUGUCAUUACCAUUUCCGCAUGGCAACGGUGUAUUGAUGGCACAUCAGUGGCUAGGACACCACGUCAGGGCCGUGCUAAACACUAACAGUUUUGACGAUAAAACUUGAUUGCAACAAAAAAAGUUUGAGCUAAAAAUUACGACAAGUUAAAAUUUGAGGGUCAAAAUGCCACCUACAUUAUGGUUUGAGGGUUGUGAGUGCGAUUCACCCAACUUGAGAUACUCUUGAGUACUGGGGCUAGGUUGAAUGGCUUCUGGAAUAGUUUCUCAGCUUCCAAAAGCAAUAGUUAAAAUUUAGCAAACAACAAUUUUGAAACUGCAACAUGUACUCUUGCAUGAAGUUGAAAACGAGCAUCUCAGCCCCAAAUUUGAAGUUUCUGCUUUUGCUGCAGAAGGAAGUUGAGAAGAUACCGAUGGAAAAGCUAUUACUGUUUCUUCGAAAUUGAUUCACUCAGUAACCCUUCUGCAGAAGCUCUUGCAGGGCGAAACAAGCUCUAUAACUCUAGGAUACCCCCUCACAUACAUCCCCGCGACACAAAGGGCACACCCUGCAUUCAGUAAAGAAAGAAAUAAAAAAAUACAGCAUAGUUUGGAAAAUGGUAAUUCCUAGAUAUGUAAAUAAGAAAAGAGUCUCAGCAUUAAUUAUACCGGUGUAUUUCUUUAAGCCACUUGUCAAUGCAUGGCAUAUGAUAUUCAUGGUGGCAGGGAAGGACUCUGAUCUGAUCUCCAUCCUCAUAUUCGGAAAGGCAGAUAUAACAUCUAGUGAAAUGCAUAACAGAAAGUUUAAUAUUGUGAAGUAGGAUAAAGCAAAGUGUAUGUUAUAUUUAUCUUUAGCCAGCCAAGGAAUAGAAGGAUAGUAUUAGCCAUAAAACUAAUUGCUCCGCCGAACCACAUACCACAGUAAUGGAAAGAAGUUAUUGCAGCUCGAAAAGAUAUUUUCUCCUAUACGACAUUUUCAACCAUUCAAAUAGACACAAAAGGAAGAAAGUGACUCCAUAGUCGUGUUAAGAAUGCAAAAAAUUUUGGCAGACGUUUUUUUAAAAAUUUUCUGGGGGGCUAGUAGAAGUUCAAAACUUACUGUUCAAUGUCAUCGCUAAUUCCAGCUGCAUCAAGCUUUUUGUAACUCUUAGCAGGCAACGAAUUAACAAUAGACUCUGGUGCAGGGAGAGAAACCAUAGAUAGAGAAAGUGACACAGGCUGGCGAUGAAUUUCGUCCAAGACCUGCAAAGUGUUUAUGUCUAAGUCAAAAUACCAUAUAAGAACUCAAGAGCAUGUUUUGUGCAUGCAUUAAAUUUUAGUUUCUUAUAAUUGUUAAACAGUAAACAUAUAAAAUAUAUGAUAGUUCAGUAGUUAACAUUACAAAAAAAAAAAGAAAAGUACAUAUAGAAGAUAUCAUAAAGAACAGAAGGGGAAGAAAGGGGCAGUGGGGAUCAUCUUGAUGAACAUGCAAUAUGAAGAGGCAUGAGUAUUGACGUUGUAAACAAAUAGGACUAGAAUUAUACGUAGCUUCAAAAGCUAGAAGAUCAGAAUCUGACUUCUCCAAAAUCAAUGGAGAGUACAUAGGAUCUUACAGUACAAACCUCAAACAAUGCUUCCGCUAGCAUGACGAUUCUUGAAAUACUUGAUGGGGUGCCUGAUUCUCCAGCCAUAGAGAAUGAACUGCAUGAGCAUGUGCCACAUGGGUGGAGCCCUGUCGCACAAAAGGUAGUUGGCAUACUGGUAUUCUCAAAGCCAGGACGAUGCCGUUGCCUUAUCUGCACCAAGGAACUGUAAGAUCAAAAUGUCCAGAAAUUCACCUCACUUAUUCAUGUAGAAAAUGAAUUGGAUUUGAAAUAAAAUACCAUAAAAGCCCAGGUUUAUAGAAAAGAAUUGCACCGAAAAGGUUAAAAUUGUUAAAAUUCGUAUGACCGAGGAUUUCAUGCAGCCUAACUUGAAGUAAUAAUUAACAUAAAAGAUUACCCGUGAUCUUGAAUGCCAGCUUAGACUACUUGAACCAUUGCGCCUGCGGCGAGAGUACCUUGACUCAUCUUCAACGCCAUCUCCAAAAAGAUCAAGACCAAGUUCAAGCCAUCUAUCAUAAAAUCCUAGAUUAGAAGUAUGCUCAGAUGAUAAAAGUGAUGCCAUAGAGUCAACAUGGCCUCUGGAACUGCUUCUGGUAAUAGCAUCCCAAAACAGCCUUCUACUAUUCCUUCUCUCCAAGCUGCUGCUUGUCCUGCCAGAGCCACUAGGUAGUACAUCAGAGGAAACGCUCGGCAUAUCCACAUUAAGUAUGUUUUCACUACACGGUUGUUGUGACUCCCUCAAUGCGGCAUCAUCUGCACCAGAAUGGUUUGUGCCUCUUGUAGGUUCUUCACCUAAUGGACAUAAAGUUGAAGAAGAAUUUGAAGCAGCGGAGUUCAAAUCUGAGUUAAAACUAUGACUACUUGAUCCUUCACUGGAAAGUUUGCUAUAGGAUGAUGUUCCAACAGGCGGAAAAUCUCUGUUAGUAGUAUUACCAACUUCCAGAGCUGGGACAAAGGUGUUAUCUGUAUUUCCUAAGGACUGCUCUAGAAUACCAGGUUUUCUGGAGGUGCUUGCCUGAUUACAAGUCCUCUCAGAAAUAAUUUCCAGUCCAGAACUUCUACUAUGAAGAGAAGCCAUAAGUUCCAUGCUCAAAGAUUUCCCUGAGUCUCUAGUUUCAGUAUUUUCCAAUUCCAUUCCACCUUCCGUGUGGUUACGAUAAGUAGGUUGACUUGAACCGAGAGGGUCAUUCAUGGAAUUGGAAGAGGUUUUUCCAGAUGAAAUUUUCAGAGGCAACUCGGCUUGGACGUGGACAACUUUAGUUGACGAUGUAUCAGGAACACUCUCUGGAAUCACCAUCUUCUCCAAUGGCCAAGUUUCUAUCUGCAGAUAAAGAACUUCGCUAUAACUAAUGAUAAAUAAAGGAAUUCUUGUGUUUUAUUCCACUAUGUUGAACAACAUAAAAGGCAGUAGCUCUUCAGCACUGGUCUAAUCAGAGAAAAGCUUUUGGUCACAUCUCAUAAAUAUUACAGCAGUAUAACAGAGAUUAAAUUAUAUACUCUAUGAAGCUUGAGUUGAAGCAUACAGAAUACUGUUAUUUUUCUUUCUUUUUAAGACAAAAUACCAGCCUCUUUGCAUAAUAAGAGUUUACAAGAUCUCAUCCUAACAGGAGAGGCCCACUCUAUUACUAAUGGAUUGACUCUAUGAAAACAAAGACUACUAAUGAGUAAUGAUAAUUCAGAUGUAAAUCUAAUUGGACAAAUUAAAACAAAUAAACUCAAACUACAUAAAUAAGCUGCAACUAGAUUUGACUAAACAUAAGCUAUCAAUAUCCUUCAUGAUAACUCCUUUCUCUGUAUCUAGUCUCCCCCAGGACACCAACUUCCUCAAUCAGCAUUCUUUACCAAGUCCUUGUCAAGACUUGGUCUUUCUCGUGUUUCAUUAAGUGGUGCAGAGUUUUUAAAAGAAUAAUUUAAUAAAAUAGCACACUGGAGAACGGAGCAAAUCAAAUAAGUUCAAAACUAGGAAUGAUCUAAUAAUUUAAGACCAACUAAUUGAAUACCAAUCACAGCACUUCGUCUGACAAAACUAAAUAAAAAAUUAUAGCAAGUACAAACUUGUAACAAUCGAGCUCCAAGGAGUUCUAUAAUUGCAAAUUACACAAAUAUAGCGAACCAAUAUAUAUGCACCUCAUCUGCAAACAUAAAUAACCACAAAAUGCAAUGAAACUACUGGAAUCUCGUCCUUCUCAGCAUUUUUUUGACAGUGAUCCUUUUCUACUCCUUUCACAAUUAAAAUGGCACAAGUAUACUGCCAAAUCCAAGACAGCCUUAAGUCACUAUAUUCUUUCUAUUCCACAAAUAAUGCGAAAAAGCUUCCAAAUCAAGAUAAAUCAACACCCAAACAGAAAAAUUAAUAAAUAAAAAGAUAAAGAUAAAGAUAAAGAAAAUAAAGAAAGCUAAAUCUAAGGCCUUGUUCGGCGCUGUUGUCGUUUUCUUGUUUUUCUAAACAUAAUUUCUGCACGAAAUACUGUGGGAGGGAAUGGUGUUUUCUCUGCUCGGAAGCAACUUUCUUUUGCUUCCAAAUCCUUUUUAGAUAUAUUUUUUCUUAUGAAAUCGUCAUCAAUCACUUCACCCGAAUACGUUACGAGGUAACUAAUCAUGACAACAAGAGAAAAAUUCUCACACUGCUAUAUCAAAUGUUAUAUCUAAUUAUACAGAAUUAGUUUUUAAAAAAACAAAAAAAGGGGAUUUUUUUUUUUCCUUCUCUCCUUGCGGCGCCAACAUUUCCAUUACUUUAAAUGAAAAUAAAUAAUCUUUACAUCCCCACAUACAAUAAUAAUCCUUUUUUUUUGUUUUUUCGGUUGAAAGGUAAGCAAGGAUAAAAUUAUUAUCAUCCAAUAGAUUGUGUAUUGUAUUUAGGCCAAAAAAACAACAAAGUUACUAAUCUAAUAUAUAUCAUUUCGAAAUGAUACAAAAUUUUAGAGUACCAAAUCAGCUAUUUCCUAAUUAAAAAUUUAAACACGAAUUCAACGAUCCAAAAGGAACAAAUACACCACACAAGAUUCAGAUAACAGGGGAUCGAUUAAUACUAGGGUUUGAGGGGGAAAGUGUUCGUUCUAGGGCACCUGAGCCGAAUCGGAGGGGGAGUUCUCGGCGGAGGCGGCGGAGGCGGCGCCGCAGAGGAGAACGGCGAGGCGGAGGCGCCUCCGGCGAGGGGACGAGCGGGGAGAUGAUGGCCUCGGCUCGAUUCUACUACUCCCGGAGCCCAUUUCGAAACCCUAGUUCGACGAGAAGAGCGAGAGAGAGAGAGAGAGAGAGAGAGAGAGAGAGAGCGAUGAACGGGAGAUGGAGACAGGGCAUGGGCCUUCAAAUAAUUGGCGUAUUAUUUAUAUUUAUUUAUUAUAUAUGUAUAUAUAUUUAUAUUAUAUUAAUAUAUUUUUUAUAUAAUUAUAAUUAGGAUUAAUUUUAUAUAGAUCCCUACAAAUAUAAUAAAUUAUAAAUUUAUCCCUAUAAAAAUCAACUUUAAUAUGUUGUUCUUAUAAAAGUCCUAAUAUUUUCAAAUAUAUUCCUCUGAUUUGGUAUCAUUAAAAUACUAUUUAUUUUAUAAGUGAAAUAACUUUUUUGUCAUCAUAAAUACGUUUUUUCAAAAAUCUCAACUAUUAAUUAAAAGAGGGUAAAAAGAUAAAUUCACCUCAUUAAGUAUUUUAUCUAUAAUUAACUAUUUUUUUUAAUGAAUCCUAAUGACAGAAAUAAUAUAUAAUAGUUAAAUGAUGUAGGAAUAUAUAUUUAUAAUUUAUUAUAUUUAAAAGGACCGGUAUAAAAUUAACUCUUAUAAUUAUUAAUUUUGGUUGGGUUUUUUUUUUAUUUAUUUAUCUAUUUAUUUGGUGAUGGAAAGCCCAUAGGCUUGGAUGAGGAUUACUUGUGUGGUUGGAAAAUAAGAUUUAAUAUUCUCAUAAAUAUAAAAGUAUAGUAUUAUGUUAAUUUUCUUUUGAGACAAUAUACUAAAAAUUAUUUUACUUAUUUUUGUAAAAAUUAUUUAAUUAUUUAAAUUAUUUUAAAAUUAUCUUUUUCUCUUAUCGUCAUAAAUAGUCCUCGAUACCGAAGAAGUAUUUAAAUGAUCGAGAUAAUAGAAAAUUAAACUCAUGCUCUGUUGGCAUUAAUUACUAAAAAAUUAUUAUAAAGAUAAUUUAAUUUUUAAUUUGUUAAGAAAUAAAAAUAUAUAUCUUCAUAUAUGUCACCGUGGUAACUAUUAUUUUGUCCAAUUACAUUAAAUAGCUCUCAAUACUAAAUAGGCCCUCAAAGUUUGGGUACAUAAAUCGAAUUAAUGAUGUGAUUGAUGGAGUUAACGACUAUUUAAAAUAUUAAAAUUAAUAAAAAAUAUAUAUUUAAUUUAUUUAAAGUUUAUGAAUAUAGCAUCUACUCAUUUCGAUUGUAGAUCAACUUAAUUUGCUGGAAUUUUAACUUAAACUUCUUAAUCUAAGACCAUAAUUAAGAGCUUAGAGAAACUCUUUUUUUUUUUUUACAUUUUACAUGCAACAGCUUAAAAUUAUAUAAUUUAUUAGAAUAAUUAUUGCCAAGUUUUUCUUUGGCCAAUUUGCAUAAAGAAUGCACUAGUUUUGGACUUUUGCAAAAGGGGUCACCUUUUUCGUUUUCGGUCCGAUUUUUUAGUAAACUGACCAAAAUAUCCUUUUACCUUUUUCUCUUUUUUUUUUUUCUCUCGUUCUUUUUUUCUUUCUCUUUCCAGAGAGUGGCGGAGGCGGAAGCGGAGGCGGAGGCGACCAGCUUCAAUUUUGUCUGGAGCAUUCUUACCCUGGCCCGCGCACCCCCCUCUCCCUCUCCAGCCUUCCUCGCCUUCGACCCCGGCAAGGUCGCAUUGCGACUUUUUUUUUCCCUUCUCUGACACUCCUCCACUGCCUCCGACGAUGACGCUUAUCUCACCCUCUCUCGCCCUUCUCGCCCUUUCUCUCUCUCUCCUCUUUCGCCUCCUCCGCCGCCGCCUUCGACGACGACGCCUCUCCGCCGACAUUGGCGCCGCAGAGGUCGCUGCGGCGCCGCAGCCUCGGAGUGGGGGGUCUUUAGCUGCGUCGUUGCCGGCACUGUGGCCGUUGGGGGAGAGGCAUGAUAAAAAAAAAUUAUAGAAGAGGAAGAAGAAAAAAAUAAAGAAAAAAAAUUAUAUAAGAAGAAAGAAGAUGAUGAAAUUGCACUGUUAAAAUAAGAUUACACUGUUUUAAAAUAAAUUUGCACUGUUUUAAUGAAAAUUGCACUAUUUGAUAUAAAAAUUAAUUUUUUUGGAAUGAAUUUUACACUCUUAAGACUAACAUUGUACUAUUUAGAAAAAUUUUGCACCAUUUUUUUUCCUUUUCUUUUUCUCUUUCUCUUCUUCUUCUUCUUCUUCCGCUGCUGCCUCCCGCCUGGCCCACGAAAGCGUGGUGGGGGCUAUCGCCGAGCUCGAGGAGGCUCCGGAGGUGGCGGAGAAGGCGAAGGAGAAGGGAGAGGAAAAGGACAAGAAGGGCGAGAGAGGGAGAGAUAGGCGUCGUCGUCGACGGCGGUAGAGGAGGGUCGAAGAGGGAAAAAAAAAGUUGCAGUGCGGCCUCAGCAGGGUCGCAGGCGAGGAAGGCGGGGGGUGCGGGGCGAGGGUAAGGAUGCGCCGAACAAAACCGAAACGGGCCGUCUCCGCCUCCGCCUCCGCCUCCGCCUCCGCCUCCGCCUCCGCCGUUCUCUUCGAAAAGAAAGAAAAAGUNAAAAAAAAAAAAAAAAAGAGAGGAGAGAGAAAAAGGUAUAAGGGCAUUUUGGUCAGUUUGCUGAAAAAUCGGAUCGAAUCUACAAAAAUGAAAAAGAUGACCCACUUUUGCAAAAGCCCAAAACUAGUGAAUUUUUUAUUGCAAAUUGGCCUUUUUCUUUUUAUCUUUUGGUAUUUGAAUGGAAUAAAAAGGAGUAUUUAAGUUACCCUUUUUUGUCCUCAUGUGCCGAAGAUGCUCUUCUAUAACUUUCCUAGGCAUUUUAAUUAUUGUAAAUUUAAUAAUAAUUUAAAUUUAAAUAAAAAAAAUGGUUUUUUAAGCCUUUUUUUUUUUAAAAAAAAAGGUAGCUUUUUGUUGGGUUUACAAAUUUUACUUUUUCCAACUUUUGCAUAACUAAUCCUCACAAUUGGAUAGUGUUGCAAUUUUUUUUUCAAUAUUAUUAAUUCUAAUCUUGCUCAAAGUAUUUUGCUUAUUUCUUAAAAUAAAUUUCCAUUGUUUAUAAUGGAAACUAAAAUAUGUAUUUUUUUUAGGGUUAAUGUCCUACAGCUCCGUAUAAACAAUAUCAAAUAACAAAUAUAUUCCUAUAAAGUUCAACUUUUCAUAUUAUUCCUGCGAAUUGCUCCUCUGGUAUGUUACCAUUGGAGCAUUGUUUAUUUUUCAACAGAAGAUAAGUGAAAUGAUAUUUUUAUCAUUAUAAAUAUGUCACUCCAAAAGCUCAAACUGUUAGAAUUAUAUAGAAAUAUCCUCCCAAAAUUUUUUGAUGAUCAUUUUCAUUUUUUCUGCCAUCACAUGUAAUAUAAGAGAGGUAAAAAAGUCAAUUUAUCUCAUUCACUAAUUAAAAAUAAGUAUUUCACUUAUGAUUAACUAUAUUUUUCUAACGGAUCCUAACAACAGGGUAUAUUCAAAAACGUUAAGAUUUUUGUAGUGAUAAAUAUGAUAAGUUGAACAUUAUAGUGAUAUAUUUAUUAUUCGAUAUGUUUACAGAAAAUUGUAUGCAAUUAAUUUUUUUUUAAGAUAAAAUGAUUGCUUCUGCUUAUAAGCAAAGCAAGUAUUGAAAAAAAAAAAAAACAAAAGCUAGUAAGAGAAAUGGAUUGAGACCAGCUAACUACUUAAGUUGAAUUUUUUUUUAUUAUUAAAAAGAGCCAUGAGAAAAAUAAUUGGAUUUUUUUAAAAAAAUAUAUUAUUUAUUUGCUGCCUAUUAUUUAAUUUUGUUGAGCUAAGUGCAUAGGUAACAUUUUAUCUUUUUUUUUAGUAUGACUAUAAUAAUAUUAUUAUGAUUACAUAUUACAUGGGGCCUAGUUUUAUAAAUAAUCUAUUUGAUUUUCUCAAAAAAAAAUAAUCGAAGGACUGUUUUUAUAAUUAUAACAUUUUCUCAGCCUAUUUGUGAAAAAAGUGGUCCGUCGUUAAUGUGCCUAAGGUCCAUAAAAGAUGGGCCUAAGGCCCAGUUUCUGGGCCUGUUUCAGAAUCUUCUAUAGUUGAGGGGGGUCUCCAUAACAUAUGGGUAGGGGUGUCAAUGAGCGGAACACGAGCGAUCUGAGGCCGGCUCGUGUUCUCCAUAAACGAGCCAAACACGAGUUGACUCGUUAAAAUAGCGAGCCGAAAAAUUCAGCUAGAGUUCAGCUCGUUUAACGAACCGAACACGAGCUGGUUUAUGCACAGCAAGUUAAAAGAAUUAUGAAGAAUACGUAUAGAAAAUAAAUUUAUGAGAUCUUAUCUAUUUGAUUUUAAUCUAAUAGUUAAAAUUUUACAUAUAAAUGAUAUUUUUAUAAUUGAGUUGGAUUUUAUAUUUAGGUUAAGCUAAAAUUCAAAUAAUACAAAUUUAUUAUAUAUAUAUAUAUAUAUAAAAAUAAAUAAUAUAUAUUCGAGUUGUUAUCAAGCUGAAUACGAGCGAGCUGAUCCGAGCUUAUGUUCGGCUUGUUUAUUUAAACGAGCAAUUCGAUCUCGAACUCAUUUCGACUCAUUUCGAGCCGAACACCCCUGUAGAUUGGGCCUGGGUUGAUAGUUGAGUUAACGGUGGGAUUUCAAAAUGGAAUAUCAUUGAGGGGUCUCUGUGCAGUUUUACCGAUUCGAUUCGCUCCGCGUCUCUCUCUCUUUAGAAACUUCCAAGGAGUUCCAGAGACGCGCGCAAAAGCUACUACACACACCGAAUCCCCCUCUCUCUCUCUCUCUCUCUCUCUCUCUUCCCCUCCAAUGGCGCAGGAGCCCUCCUCCGCUGCUCCCUCUCCCUCCCUCGACGACACCCUUCGUCUCCUCCGCGGCGACCGCGACGAGCAGAAGCUCGCCGGGCUCCUCCUCGCCUCCAAGCUCUGCGGCGCCGGCGGCGACGGCGCCGAUGCCGACGCCGUCAUCAAGGUCUACCGCGCCGUUGGCCCCCGCUUCCUCAGCCGCCUCCUCAUCACCGGUGACCCCUCUCUUUCUCUCUCUAGAAGUCUCUCUCCCCCUCUCUCUCUCUCUCUCUCUCUCUCUCUCUAUCGUGCGAUUUUGCUGAUAGGGGUUUGGGGGACGCAGGGAUGGGGAAGGGAGCGGGCGACGCGAAGGGCGCGGAGGAGCGGGAGGCGUACCUGAGGCUCGCUAUCUCGGUACUCGCGGCGUUCGCUAGGGUUCCGGAGAUCGCGUCGUCGGAGGGGAUGGUCUCGGAGGUCCCUCUUGUGGCGGAGAUCGUUUCCAAGGCGUAAGGCUCGUCAAAUCCUGUUCUUUUGUGGGUUCUCCUCCUCUUUAUUGGGGAAAGCUUGGAUUUUUGGACUAGUUAACUAUGAAUUGGAGUAGAUAAUUUGGUAAAGUUGUACUUGGACUUCUCAGGUAUUGGCCAUUUUGAAAUAAACCCCUUAGCUAGUUUCCUUUUGAUUGGAACCUUGUCAAAUUUUGAUUCUUUUGUCUAUACUUUUCAUCAAUUAAAUUAGAAGUUUGGUUAUUUUAAAUGUUUUCUAUGCCUUUUUGCAGCUAAUGGAACUAUAGAUUUUGUUAACUCAGUUAAUAGCUUUUGAAGUUGUUAAUGUUGAUAAAUCCUCAAAUCAAUCUAAAAGUAAAAAGUUCAAAGUUUGAGAGGGUGCCAAUUAAAAGAAAAUUAGUCGAGGGGCCUAUUUAUAGUUGAGGAGGUGCUUAUACAUUUCUACUGAACAACUUUUGCCCGCAGUGAUGAGCUUUAUUUAUCUAAACUUAUCUGGGAACAUAUGCAGGAUUGACCAAUCUAUUGUUGAGGAAUGCUAUGAAUUCUUGUUGUUGGUUGCUUUGGCUUCUGAAGAUGGAAGAGCUAAAUUUUAUGAGCCUGGAGUUCUGGACUUGCUAGCUUCUCAUAUCUUGAACCUACCGGACGGUAAUUGCUUUUUAUUUAGUUAUUUAUUUAUUUUAUCUUUGCUUGCAUUUAUUUGUGUAUUAUGAUUAUUAUCUUAGUUUGAAGGACGACAAACGAAUACUGAUAAGGUUAAGUAGUAAACUCAAAACUAAGUUCAGGACCUAUUUUAAAAACACUACGGUUUGGUAAUAAAUCAAACUUUUUGGAGUUCAGGUAUCUAUUUCAAAAUUUGCUAAAGUCAGGUAAGAUUUGUACGUUUUUUAACCAAUUUUGAAUCAACUUUGUUUGGUCAUAGUCAUGUCCUUUAUCAUGGUUUAAAAAUAUAACUCUUUUCAUGCAAAUUUUGUACAUGUUGUGUCAGUACAAUGUAUUAUAAAUGCAAAUAGUUACUAUUGCUUCUGAGAUCAGGUCACACUAUGCCGGGGAAAAUGAGAAUUAUUUCCUUGUUUUGUAUAUUAUAGCUGGGCUGUUUACUAUCCCAUUUUCCUUUGAUUCUUCAUUUCUACUCUCUUGUUAUAACCAGCAGAUGACCGUCUAUUGCAGGUUCCCGAUCUUUAGAACUUGCUGUUCGACUUUUGGAGCUGCUGGUGAACAAGCUUACGAUAGAUAUGAUGAAUGACGAAAACCUGCAAGGAAUAGCAUCCAUGGUAUAUAUGGGAAUAGUGAAGCACUUUUAUCGUGCUAGUUUAGGCUUAUAAUUUUUGGACCUUAUAAAUAACAGGACGAAGCUUAUUGUGAUUCAGGUGGCUUCCCUUGCUAGACUCUUUGCCGUCCUGCACAACGCCAUUAAAUUUGACGCACUGCACAUGCUUAGUGUUCUUCUAUCCCAAAAAGAUACUGUAAGCAUGACUUCUUGUUAUCCUGUUGGUGUGUUAAAAAUAUGGGUUAGUUACGAGUUCUUUGCAUCUGGUUCUGCUUUCAAUUAACAUCUUCAAAGUUCAGUCGUAAUAAUUUAGUUUGUGAGUAACAACUAAGUCCUCUAUUAACCCUCCGUUAAUCUACCAUCUAAAAGAAAUGCCAUGUCAACAUCUGAAAACUGAAAGCUAUUUAAGUUAUUUGUGUAUUUGCUUUGCAAUAGUGAUUUGGAUUGUACUUUCGAGUGUAAUGAUCGGAUAAAAACUAGUAACAAGGAAAUGUCCUAUGCACUUACGUAUGCUCGGUUAUAUUUUCAAAUCAUCAUUCAGAUUUCAGAGGGCUCUAAGAUCAUGUUUAGCGCUGUACAGUGCAAUGUAGAGUAUAUAUAGGAGACUAAACAGAUAAGAGGUUCAUAACAGGUUGAAAAAGUCUUAUUUUUGCUUUUUAGAAUGAGAUAUAUUCCAUUAUUAAUUAACUGUUAUUCUGCUAAUCUGCAUUAUGGCUGGGUGCUUUGUGUUGAUAAUGGUUUUUGUAAUUCUUUCCUAUUUUUCCCCAUUGAAAACAAGCAUUGGUGUUUUUGCAACUCUUGUCAAAACCAUUGUAUGUCGUCCUACCUUCAUUUAUUGUUUGUCCAGUACAGCUAUAUGAAAUAUCAUAUUUUGGUUAGCGGACAAGUUACUAUCUGAUAGCAUGGCCUAAAAUUCCUUUCUUUUAUGUAGCCACUCCAUGAUGCUCUUAGGUCAAUGCCAAGUCGAAUUUCGGCGGCUCAUAUACGUACCGGCAUUACAGCUAUUCUUCAGAAUCGUGUUGGUAUGCCUAUGUUCUUUAUUUUUAGUGUCAAAGCAUUUCUGUCAGUCAAAGAACAACCAUUGUUCUGAAAUUCAUGCCACUGCAGGCACAUGCUCAAUUGAAUAUUGCUUUUGCUGUUUGUUUUUUCUGAAAUAUUUUUUUCUAUUAUGUAAUAGAUACAUAUUGCUAUAGGUAGAAAGGAAAAUCACUUCUGCCUCAAGUUGUACCCUUAAAUUUUUUCUUGAGAGUUGAGGCCAUAAAAGAUGAUUUUUGCUGGCAAAAGAGGUAGAAACAACACAAAGAAGAAUAAGCUAAGAAAGAAACAAUGAAAAAAGAAUUUGUCCAAGAAACAGUAAUCUUUGUUACAAAAUUUGGAGUUUGAAAAUGGCAUGUACUGUCCUUUCCAAACGUGUCUAGUUUCCUCUGAAAAGCUUCAAGCUCUUCUCCUGGCUGAGUGCAUGAUGUCUAUACUUGGUGAAAAUUGGCUGCUGGAACAGACUAACAUACCCGAAGAGCAAAAGCCCAUGCCUGUUGAAAAGUAAGUAAAAUUUUUCUACAAUUCUUGAGAUUGUGUUAAAACUUAUUUAAACCUAUGUAUUUAAUUUGACUUUUUGUAGGUUUCUACUACUUGUGCUAGAGUCAGCAAGGAUUGAAGUUGCUGUUCUUCUCAACGAACUUGCUUACUCAAAGUAUGAAUUAUCCAAAAGUUCAUCUAAUGCUGAAGAAGCCAUCAAGCAGAAGCAGCGCAGUUUGGCUAUACCAUUUUCAUUAAUUGAGAAAAUAGUCAAAUUGAUCUCUAAUGUUAGUGGGGCAGAAGGUAAUUUAUAGCAUCUUCGACUAUGUUGCACCUUCUAUACCUAGCGUAUGUCGCUUCUACAUCUUGUUUAGCUAGAAAUUAUAUGCCUUUUCUUCAGUUAACAUCUUGCUCUGCACUUGGAAAAGCCCUUUCUUCUGUUAACAUCUUUGUUAGGGCAUUUUUUUAAACUGCUCUUUCCAUUUCUAUUUAGGUCUAUAUAUCAGUGAAAGUACUAUAACAAAAGCAAUUGCUGGAUUGAAUGAGACUAUCAAUGCUGUAUUAGAUUUUCUGCAAGAUUCGAAGGUAAAUAUCCUGACAAUUUUAGAUGUUAAAAACUCUAGUCUUAUAAAAGAAACUUACAGAUGUCAAGCUGUAGGAUCAUGGACAAAGGAAAGGUGAUGAUCUUUUAGCUGCAGUACGAAUAAUCGGAAGGUAUUACACACUUCUUUUGAUAUUCAUAACUUUCAUUGUUAAAAGAAUCCGAUUAUCUCUAGCUAUCAUCAGCUCCUUCGGUGAACACAUGAAGAAUGCGAUCAUUUCUAAACAUAGCGUCAAGUUCGUGAGGACUUUUUAUUGGCCGUCUAAACAUUUAAACUUCACGGCCUACGUGUCCAAUGAAUGAUUUCCGUCUAAAUUGUUAUCCAGUUUGAUGUGAAAUGAUUCUACCACUGAUUUUGUAAUUGGAUUAUAUUUACUUUGCUGCAGCCUAUGAAAAACUUGCAGUAUAUUCUAUUCAACUUUUGAUCAUAUUAUUCCAGUUAUCUUGCAGAAGCUCCCUAUGCCUGCAAUCAGAAGACUCGAGAUCUCUUGGAAUAUAUUCUCUCUGUUGAAGGUGAAGAUGAAUCAAGGUUGGUUAUUCUCUCAUUGAUUCUUUCUUGCAGUGAGUAUUGAUUAAUGUCGUCUAUUCAUUCUUUUUAGUCGAAAGGGCUUAUAGUUUGUUCGUAUUGCUUAAUGACAGCCCCUUCUAUUCUGUCUGCUUCAUGCUUCCAAUGUUGUGCCAAAUAACUAUGGAGGUCGAGGGAUGCAAAACCUUGGUUUCCUUUGGAGGACAUAGAUCUGUAAGUAUUUUUUAUAUUUUAUACCAUAUGCACCACUUAAAGUAUCUCUAUGCUUGCUUACAAUUGACAUCCACUAUCUUCUUCCCUGUGCUAAACUGAAAUCGGUGAUAAUGCUUGUUUUGGUUUUAAGCUUGCACCUAUUUCCUGUUGCUUACCUCAAGGAAUAUAUUUUGAUUUUAUUCCUUUGUAGUUUCCCAGAUUUAUGUGUUGCAUCAUUGUCCUUUAUGGGUAUCUCUUCGUGUGAGUACGAAAGACGUUUGUUUGUUAAAUAUGAAUAUUAAAUGCAGACAUAAUUUGUUUAGUCUCCAAUUUUUUAUGGGUCGCAUUCAUCACUAUUUCAUCUUGAUAUGCCCAUAUUUAAUGUCAUAUUACUCUUAAAUAUGCUAUAUUGUCAUACUGUAAUCUGGUCAAUUUAUUCUAUUGCAAUACAAUGGUUGAACAUAAUUUUGUUUAUUGAUCAAAGCCUUUUUCACGCUUGAAUCUAUCUUCAUCAAUAUGGUUUAUCCCUCCAUAUCUGUAAUCUGGCUCAUUUAUUUAUAAAUUGAAGCCUAUAUAAUGCAUUUUAAAUUUUGACAAUCGAAAGGGAAAGCAGAAAAGUGAACCUUUUUGCUUACAUAUUUACAGGUUGUGAACUGCCUUAUAAAAAUGAUUGAGCAAGAUGCAAUGAUGGUUGAGGAUAAUGGGACAAUAUUUUUGGCAUGCGACACCAUUUUGAACUUUCUGUCUAAUGUAAGUGAAACCAUUCGAGAAAGCUUUAACUUUUGGCAAGAACAAUAUUAUGAUGAUAAUUUUCCAGCCACUAUUCAUAUGCGUAAGUGACUUCUCAUUUUUACAGAGAACGGGCGUUCAAGUUCAAUUAGAACCUCACUUUGUCAAUCUUCUACGGACGCUAGCUUUGUGGGCUGGUAUGGUGUUUGCUUCACUACUCUCAUGUUGUGUUUCAUCCGUUAUUGUGUGAAAGAAAAUGCAAUAAUUCUAUGUUCGUCAAAUUCGAGCGUACAUUUUGAAACAAACCUUUCGAGGCUUAAUCUCUCUAUAUAAUAUGAAAUUAAACUGUUAUCAUAUUAUAUUUAGGGAUUUUAGGAUCAGCUGCGUAAUUCUGGGUACCAAGGUACAUAAGUCUAUGAAAGAUUAUUCUUGAGGUAUGAAAGGGUAGUUUAAGAUGAAUGUGUUGAUGACUUAUCCAUGAUAUUUAACCACCUUCCGUUCUGUGGAAAAACAUAAAGAUAAAGAUACCUCACUUGAUAAUGAGACGAAGGAAAAUUUAGCAAUUUAUGCUCAUUUAUUUAGUUAAAACUUAGAUUGAGAAACUUAAUUAUGAUUGCUGCCAAUGAUAUUGCUGAAAAAUAACCCUCAUAAUUUCCACUUUGGUUCUGAUUUUCAUAUGAUGGAAUGGCUCAUCUGCAUGAAAUUUUUUCUUUAAGAUUUUCUGCUAAUACUGCUAUAUUCAUCCUGAACAUGAUGGCCUUAGGUACUACUAAUGAUCCAUCGAUUAUCAUGAUGGCUUCGAGCAUAUGCACAUUGAUAUUUGACCUAACGUCGGAGGAAUCUCUCUUAAACCGUUCCGAUUUUGACCCCAGAACCCUCGAAAGUUUGUCGCAACUCAUCAUCAGAAGCUUGGAUCAGGUUAUCAAUUCCUUUCUAUUUUUUUUUCUCUGGUCAGUGUUCGAGGACCGGUCACCAACAAAUCAAACCCGACUUAAUUGCAGGACAUAAUCGAUGAAUCAAGGGAUCAUAGCGACUUACGACAAAUAAUUACUGCAGGUUCAGAAAUAAUUUUUUCCCCUGUUUAUAUAUAUAUAAGGAAUCAUUCUGUUAUUUGACGUAUUAUACCUUUUCAGGUUAUAGAAGGUGGGCUGAGCGGUUCCCGAGCGUCAGAAACGCCGUCGAACGUGCAGUAAACAUAUCAACUGCUGGUGCUAUUCCAUCAUGAAACACUGCCAAAUUGUGUUUUCUAUCAUCUGAGGCAGAAGAACAGUUUGCCGCACAAUUUUCAGCCCCAUGGAGCUUCCGGCAGUUGCAUAUCGAGUCGAUGUGCAUGUCAGAUAACCAGCUGAAUUACUACUACAUCUUUUGAUUUGUGAUCGACUGCUGCGAGCCGUAUUUUCAUGAUGCUUCUGCAAAUACCUUGAAGCCGUCGGUGUCAGUCACUUUAUACCACUAGCAAUUUAAGUUUGCUGUACUGUUUAUAUCCCUUGUAGGUUGAUAUGAUGUAACAAAAAUAUGGCAUACACUUGCAUAAACUCUUUGUUGGAAGUAUAAUUUAACAUUUAUGAGAUGUUCUACCUCGCAUGAAAUUCAGUAAUUUAGCAUCACAGGCAAAAUGAAAUUCUCAUUAAAGAUCAUACUUUGGUGGAGUAUCACCAACCUUUGUUUAUGUUGUUUUGCAGUAAUGGACUAGUAGAUUCUAGUGUAUCUUAAUUCAAUAUAUAAAUGGAGGGAUGAUUAUGCGAGGGCCGUUCGAUUGUGACCUGGUCAAAUCCAGCUCUCGAGUAGUGCAAAUGGAUCCGGGUUGAUGGGGUUCCCGCCCGAUUUGCCCUGAAUGGAGCAGUUGAUGGGGGUCAAAAUAAGGAAAAAGUUAAACAUCCUGAAUUCGCUCCGAUCCGCUAGGAAAAUAAAGUGAAUUCGUCCCGUUUGCAUUCCUAUGCUCGAAACAAAUCCUAAAUUUGUCCCGUUUGCAUUCCUAUGCUCCAAACAAAUCUAAUUUCGCCCCAACAUGCGAAACCGAGCACUAAAUAGAGGUAAAAAUAGAAAAAUAAAUAAAUCUAUCCCGAAUCGACCACUACUCCUGCCUCUAGAUCUGUCCCGUUAGCACCUAUUACAUAUAAAAAUAUAAAAACAACAUUCUUUAUCAAUUUAAGUUUCUAGAAAAUAAUGAUUAUUUCAUAUUAUUUAAUAUGAUAUCAGAGCAAACCCGAUUUCCUCCCAUAUAAACAAUUUCGAGUUCCAACAUAAGUAAAAAUAUUAUAUGCAAUCUAGUUACCUAAAUAAGCUCGGGAAAUUUUGCUUCUGAUUAGAACAUGCUCCCUAAUCUACAAACUUUUUGUUCUGAAGUAAGAAACAUGUUUCAGUACAGCCACGCCGAAUCCUGCGCAUAAGAAACAGAUCUUGCAGCCCCUCUUACACCUUCCUCAGAUAUCUGAGGGCAGUCUUCAACCACCAAAGACUCCAACUUCUUCGAGUCGACGGCCGCCUUCAGCCCGAGAUCGGUCACCCCCAAACACCUGCAGAGCCUGAGAUGAGCCAAGCGCGGGAAAUCCACGACACGCCGCAUCCCCACAUCGCUGACCUCCUGGCACUGCGCGAGCUCCAGCGUCUCCAAGAACGCCGCCGAAACAAGCGCUUCCAUUCCCGCGUCGUCGAAAAAGCACGCGUUGUUGAGCACCAGUACCCGAAUCGGACAGCUCUGAAUCAAAGUUGAAAUGCCCUUCAGAGUAAAGCAGCAGAAGUUCGGGAAAUCCCCGCCGACGAAGGAUAACUCGACCUCCUCGAGCAUCGAACAUUCGCUAGCGAACGCGAUGAGACUAUCGUCGGUUAGCAACCGUGUCGAAGCAUUGCUCACCGGACAUGGGGACAGAUAUUGUAGAGGGAGGCGAAGCGCGAUGCUUCUAAGGUUCUUCGAGCUCCGUGAUAGCGCGAUCAUAUCGCGGUCCCUAGUACCAAUGCAUGUCUCCAAGCGAAGCUUCUCCAACGCGCGGUCGCAGCUCCCUAGGAGGUGCGAAAGCACCCUUCCCGGCUCCACAACGCAGUUCGUCAACCUCAACUCCGUCAAAUUCUCGCAUUGAAUGCGACACUCGGGAAAGCCGUCACUCGCCGCGGAGAGGUCGUAAACCUUCGGACACCGAUAACACGAGUCCAUCUCGAACUCGAACCUCUCGAGCUCGUUCCACCCCGUGCCGAGCUUUAUAAGGUCGUCCUCGCCGACGGCCCGACAAUUCUUGAUUGCGAGUUCCUUCAACGACCCGAAUUUCCCGACAUACUCCAACCACCCGACGCCAUUCACCUUCAUGCACCGGACGAGGCGGAGCGCGGACAGACUCUUGCACCCCACGACGACCGAGAGAACCCCGUUAGAGCUAAUUGCGGGCGCGAAAUUCAGCUCGAGGGACGUUAGCUUCUUGCAAGAAGCCAAGUGCCCGAGGCCCGCGUCACUGACGAAGGAACAAAAGCUCAAGGUGAGAUCGGCGAGGGCCGGGCAAUGGCUCGACAGUGCAAGGAGCCCUCUGUUAUCGAUUUGCUUGCCCAAAUGCGACAUCCAACCGGAGUAGACGAUCUCGACUUUCGUCAAGUUCGGGAAUCGGAUGCACAACGAAGUCAAUGCGUCGGUAGCCGGGUGGAGGCCGCAGCCAACGCGAAUGAACUCUCUUUGUUCUGCGUCGAAUGCGUGGAGGCGUUUCGACGCGAGAGAGAGGGAGUUUCGAUCCGAAGUUCGGGUAAUCCUCUUGGUGAUGUCCAAGAGUAGUGGCUCAGGAAGAUCCUCCAUUGAGAAAAUUGUGACUCUAAACCCUGGUAGUAACAUGAAAAUUCGCGAGUAAACAUUACAAAUAUAAGCUUAGUCAACUUCACAAUAUUAUCAAUGAAAGCUAGCUAUCAAGGGUUGUUUGGUUACUCGAAAAAGCAUGAAAAACUGUUUUUCGAGGAAAAAAAAACACUAUUUUAGAAAAAUUACUUUUCCUAGGAACUGAACAGACGAAAAAUACUUUUCCAGAGGAAAAACUAUUUUCCGUAAUAUUUACUGGAAAACUAAACACCUCCUUACAAAAUAUGGAAAGAGAAAAGUAACAUUUUUUUUCUUUUUAUGGGAAAUGAUUUGGUUGUCACAAGUUAUGGGAAUCAACUACAAUCUUAAACAUAUAGAUUUGAGAAGGAUUAGUUAUUUCUAUGCAAUCAAGGCUCAAUAAUAAUAAUAAUAAUAAUAAUGUAAAAGGUAAUAAUUGGAAAAACAAAUUGAAGAACAACAAAGGAAAUGGUUAUAGAGUUUCCCCAAAUCUAAGCUUAGUUUUUAGAGGGGAAAAAAGAGAGAAUUUUUGUAGUUUUACAGCUAAAAAAAAAAAAGAGAAUCAGCUAAUCAUACUAAUAAUCUUUUUUUGUUAAAAAAAAUCACCCUUUUUAUUGAAGGAAAAAGAAACUCAGAUUCUAUCAUUACCAAAAAUAAAAAAAGUAGGAACUAAUUAGAAAACUGAAUCCAAAUAAAAGAAAAUCUGAGAAAACCCAGAUGAUAUUACCUUAUAAAAAAUCCCUCUUUGAAGCUGAAAAAGAUCUCCUUACUUCCUCCUCCACACUCCUCACUCUCAAAAGGAGAAUAAUUUGAGAUUGGUUUCAUGCAAAAUCUAUAAAAAGAUCAUUUUUUAAAAAAAAUCAUACUCUAAGAUAUAAUUAAGUUCAAAUUUUCUCAUAUUUUAGAUUAGGAAAAAGGGGAAAGAAGAGGAGCACAAGCAUUUCUCAUUUCUCUGUUCCAGAGAGUGAAAACUAGAAGCAUCUGAUAAGGGUAUUUUUGUAAUUUCAACCAAAAACUGUGCCCCUGAUUGAAUUUUUUUUUAAGCUUUGGAGAUAAUCUUUUUAUUUUCAAUUUUGACAAUUAAUUUCUUUAAAAUUUUAUUAAAUAAUUUAAUAAAUUAUUGCAUUUCUCUAUAAAUAUUUUGCACCUAAUCUUAUAAUAAAGUUUUGAAAUAUAUCGAAACAUAACUCUUCUAUUUCACUAUUUUAAAAUAAUACGAAUCAAAUAUAGAGAACACCUAACUUAGAGUUUAUUAUGAAAUAGCCUCCCUAAUUUUUUUAAUUGAGAACUUUUCAACAUCCAUUUUUUAAAAAUUAGAUAAUUGUCAAAAAAAUUGCAAAUUUUUAUCAACUUUAUCAGCAUUUAGGAAAUGAAAUGGACUAAUUAAUGAUUGACAAUUAAUAAUUAAUAGAAUUAUUAAAUAUGAUAAGUUUUUUUUAACUCAAUUAAGUAUGAAAAUUUAAAUUAAAAAACUCGUAGUUGAGAGAGUUUCAAUUAAAUAAUAAUAAUAAUAAUAAUAACAAAAAGGUUAUUUUAAAAUAAAAAAAUAUUAAUUGGAUAUUCCUUAUAAGAAUAUAUAUAUCUUACACUCAAAGAUUUAAGAAAAUUACAAAAAGCGGGAUAUAUAUCUUACAAUUCGCUAUUCGUCUAAGAAUCAUCAUUUUUCUUAUUUAUCACAUUUUUUUUAAAAAAAAUUUACUGUAAUCUAUUUACACUCUUUUUCUCGGGGUGUAAAUAGUAAAUUCCCAUACAAAUGAGGCGUUUGUGUGACAAUUUCGUAUAGUUGGGGGGUCUUCCUGUAAUUGUUCCAUCGUCGUCUUCGUCGAAUUUAAACCAAAGAGGAAAAGCAAGGUACCAUUUUUGUUCCCCGUCGCUCUCUCUCCGCGAAGAGAGAGAGAGAGAGAGAGAGAGAGAGAGAUGGGUUGCUGCGGCGGGAAUCGCUUCUCGUGGUCGCUCCUCCUCCUCAGCUUCGCCGUGGCCCUCGUCACCUACAACCUCCUCCUCGCCUCCUCCCACGCCCCUCUCGCCUCCGACCACCGCCUCCUCCUCCCCACCACCACCGCCGCCGCUUUCACCCAGCCCCGCCACCGCCCCUUCCUCUCCUCCGGCGACGGCGGCGGGGCGGAGGAGGGGCGGCCGAGGCGGCGGAGGGCGUUCCACACGGCGGUGACGGCGUCGGAUUCGGUGUACACCGCGUGGCAGUGUAGGGUUAUGUACUACUGGUUCAAGAAGGCGAAGGGGAGAGGCGGGGGCGAUGGGGAGAUGGGGGGGUUCACGCGGAUCCUGCACUCGGGAAGGCCCGAUGCAUUCAUGAAUGAGAUCCCCACCUUCGUCGCCGAUCCGCUACCGGAUGGGUUGGAUCAGGUAUUGUGGCUCUUCUAGUUUGGUUUUGUGUGUGGAUUUAGAGUUUUAGUUUUUUGUUCGUUAUUGCUGUUCAUAAUGGGAAUUUAGGAGCAAUUGGUGCUCAUUUGGGGUCGAAUUGGGUGAAUUAAGUAAAAAAAAAAGAUGCUUCUUUGUGAAACAGAUUCUCCCUUGGUGGAUUUAGGGUUUAGUGUUUCAGUGCCUGUAGCAUAUUGCUGUUGAUGAUGAGAAUUUGGGAGUAAUUGGUGCUCCUUUGUGUUCAAACUGGGUAAAUUAAGUGAAAAAGUUGACUUUGAGAUGCUUUAGGGUUUAAGGUUUUAUUACCUGAUAAUUAUUGCUGGGAAUAAUCGGAAUUUACGAGUAAUUGGUGCUACUUUGGAGACAAUCUGGAUAAAUUAAGUGAAAAGGAUGCUCCUUGGUGAGUUAUUUUGGUGUUUUUUUAGGUUAGAUCUUCUUCUGAAUGAAGCUUACUUAUGUGCUUAACUGAAAUUAUAUGCUUAGAUUCUUAUAAAUAAUGGUGAAAAUGAGCUGUGAUUCGUGCCAUUUUUUUCCCCCCCUUUCCAACUCUUUGCAUAUCUUGGUUAUUUUCUAAUUGUAGACUGGUAGAAAGUAAAAACAGUGAUCUUUCUCCCAAAGUUCCAUAGUUUUGUUGACAUUAGUUUUAAUUUCUAUGAUUUGGCAUGUGAAAAUGAUCUAGGGAUAGAAUUGGCCUAUUUUGCUAGUUCAAUGUGAAAAAUACUUUGAGAUGCAGCGAUAAUAAUGCCUAUUUAGUAUACGGUGCCUCACUAGCUAGUAUUUGGUCACUUGUGUAAGCAUUCCUUAAGUAUGAACUUGCCGUUCAAACCAGAUUUUAUAGUGUUAACUGGAUGCUGUCUUCAAUUUCAGGGUUACAUUGUCCUUAAUAGGCCUUGGGCAUUUGUUCAGUGGCUUCAGAAGGCAAAUAUACAAGAAGAGUAAGUUCCGCAUGUCGUAUUCUCCCGAUUUGAAUUAUUUGACCAAUUCGGAUCUCUUAAAAUAGUGGUUGAUUAUCCGCAGCUAUAUCUUAAUGGCAGAGCCUGACCAUAUAAUUGUCAAGCCUAUACCAAACUUAUCAAAAGAUGGUCUUGCAGCUGCUUUCCCAUUCUUUUAUAUUGAACCCAAAAAGUAUGAACCCGUUUUGCGUAAAUUCUUUCAUGAAGACAAGGGGCCAAUUACUAACAUCGAUCCUAUAGGAAAUUCUCCUGUCAUCAUUGACAAGGUACUUUUUUUAUACGUGCCUCGACUACUGAGGUUUUUUCUUUUUUUUUUUAAAAAAAAAUUCUAUAUUCACCUUUAUCUUAAUGCAAUAUCUGAAAAUGGUUUAGGAAUCUCUUAUGAAGAUUGCACCUACAUGGAUGAAUGUUUCUUUGGCAAUGAAAAAGGACCCUGCAACAGAUAAAGCAUUUGGCUGGGUGCUUGAGAUGUAAUUAUUUACAUUGUUUUAUGUUCUUUUGACUUCGUAUUAGUUUUGGUUUGUCGCUUAUGCAUCUGAUUUCAUUGAUCUUUUAAAUACAGGUAUGCAUAUGCUGUUGCAUCUGCUCUCCAUGGAGUUGGCAAUAUUUUACGCAAAGAUCUCAUGAUUCAGGUCUCAUAAAGUGACGUUUUCAUUGUGUUCUCACAAGUUCGAAGCUUUAUUUCUGGAUUACCUCAUUUAUAUUUUCCUUCCAUUUAAAGCCUCCUUGGGAUUUGGAAGUUGGGGAGAAAUUCAUUAUUCAUUAUACUUACGGAUGUGAUUAUGACAUGAAGGUAUUACACUUUUAUUGUCCUCUCCAAACUGUCAAAUUUCUUGUUUAUUUGAUAUUUCAUUUACACAUACAAGAGAAAAUUCACUGAUUUGAGAAGGUUUUAACUACAAGAGAAUUGCCUCUUUCGUAAUUAUAUCUAGUCUAUUCACAUUUAAUAGGGAAAGCUAACUUACGGGAAAAUUGGAGAAUGGAGAUUUGAUAAAAGAUCAUAUGAGGGCAAGCCACCUCCCCGUAACCUGCCGCUACCUCCGGAUGGUGUCCCUCAAAGUGUGGUAUAAUCUUACAACACUUGUACCAGGAUGUUUAAAUGUUUAGUUCUCUCUAUAUAUUUUUGGCUCUCUAGAUCAUUGAUUUUCGUAUAUCAAGGCAAUGUUUUCAUUGCUAUUCUUGCUCUUAGACAAUUAGCGUCUUUUAGAAGUUUUCUACUUUUGACUCUCAUUUUGGAUUUUCUUGUUUAAUUCUUUUCUUUCGUCUUUUUAGCGUAUUUCCAGCUAUAAAUCAUCAACGUAUCAGGUUCUAUCAUUUCUUUUUCCUCUUUUGAAAAUUGCAAGACCAUUAAAUAUUAAAGAACCUUUCUCUUCAGGUGACUCUCGUCAAGAUGGUCAACGAAGCGACGGCGAACAUUCCUAAUUGGGAUGCUUUCACGGGGUGAUUCCAAAUAUUACAGGAAUGUCUUAAUAGCUUCUGCUCUUGGGGAUAAGAAGCUCUGCAUAUAAUGAUAUCUCAAAGAAGGAUAAAACAUAUACAAAUCCUGCUGACACGGCGAACGUGGAAGUGGUAUGGAUGCGUCCCUAAUAUUCUCCCAGGAAAGGUCUGACGCUGGGCUAAUUAUUCUCGCCUUUUUUACUUGAAUUUUCCUUAUUGAAUCUUUGGUAUAGUAGAUUACGACAUCAGUAGCAACAUAAGCUUGCGAAGAUGGAAUAAACUGCAUUCUCGUUAACCAUCUUGGAACUCCUUUCUCAGGUUAUAAUAUAUACAGAGUAAAUGUGUGUUGCCUUUGUACUUGUUAGCCAUAAAGUUAGUCAUUUGAAGUGACAAAUAAAAGCAAUUUACGGGCUUAAUUUUCGCCGAAGCUGUUGUAGGCAUUAAACGAGAUUACCGUAUAUCUACAUACUAGUUGCUAUUAAGUUCUUCAGCGCCUUGUUUAUGUGUCAAAGGUUUCGUCCGCUUGACUUUCUCCGAAUCGUCUAGUCAAAAUCUUGCUUUUGGAUCUCUUAUUCUUUCGUAUUAGUAUCCCAAUGCUUAGUUGCAUGCCCAAAACUAAAAUAACCAUUUGUUAUUCUAAUUAUGCAAAUGACAAAGGUGAUUAUGAAAAGGAAGUGCUAUUACUGCUGUAACAAAAGUUUCACCAUGUCAUACUUUUUAGAAUCACUGUACAACCUUAUCAUUGAUGGUGUAUGUGUUCACUUCUUGGUGUUUAAGCCUAUUGAGCUCUACCUGGGCAACUAUACUGUAUACAAUACUUAAAAUCAACAGGAAAGGAGAGUGAUUCAUAGCUGUAGCUCAUCUUUCAACAUUUACAGAUGACUACCUAAGAAUCAAGAAGACACAGAAGUUUCAUCUCCUUGUGAUGAAAAGAUUUUAAGUGAUCAAAAGUCUGAAUCUUGUUAACGUUGUCCUCAAGCCAUGAUUCCUUUGUCAAUGUUUUUUUGGCAAACAAGUUUGUUUCAGGUACUCACUGUUGAUAUUUUUACCUUCUGUUUCAAAGACUGUCGAAAUCAGAUGCAUGCUAUCAGUGUCUCCUAUAUUUCUUGUCAGAACUCUUUUUGCUUCCGAUGUUGGGACUAUCGAAAAUGUAACGAUCAGGCCUACUAGCAAUAAUAAUAACUCAGUUGGAUUCAUACCAUCGGUUCAAAAUGUUUAAGUCUGGUCGUAACUAUUAGGGCGUUACAACCAACUAGGGAUGUCAGUGGGUUUGGGUACCCGAAAUAUUAGUCGAACCCGAACCCGAACGGGGUGGGUUUAUCCGAGCUAAACGGAUAUGGAUUCGGUUAUGGGUAUAGAAAAUAAAAACCCGACGGAUAUUGAUACGGGUAUGAAUUUUGUACUAUACCCAAUCCGAACCCAAAUCCGAACCCGAAUAAAUUAUAUAUAUACAUAAUUUAUUUUUAUUUAUUUAUAUAAUAUAUAAAAUAUUUAAUAAUUUUUAUCUCUCAGAUAUGGAUUUUUAAUACCCGCCGGGUUCGGGUCUGGAUUCGGGUUUCGGGUUUUUGGUCGGGUACGGAUAUGGGUAUGGAUUUUUAAAACCCGCCAGGUUCAUUUCUGGGUACGGAUUUUUAUUUGGUUUUCGGGUUCGGGUUUUUAAAACCCGACCCAAACAUGUUGUAAUGGGCCUCUAUAUUGAUGUUGGGCUAACAUAGCUCCUUUUUUAGGAUCUAACGGGCUGGGGCAAGAUGGGCCUUAGUUGGGCCUUUUAGCACCUUCGACUAAUGUCUUCUUUCAAGUUCAAAUUGGUGGAUUAUUAAUGUUUUUUUGAUUCACGCGUGACACAUCAACAUAUCAGUAAAUCAAAAUUAUUUUUAGGGAUCUUUGAUUGUACUGGUAGAGAUAUCUAUUCAAUAGUUAGUUUUUUCUUUUAAUACUAAAUUUUUUUAAAAUUAAACCCUAAAGAAAUAAAUUAUAAUUGUUGGAUAAAGAUAAAAGUUAUAGGGGACAAAAGAACGAGGCGCCGUUGGGGAGCUCCUAUAUUUUAAAAAUUGGUUUGAACAACCAGUUUGAAUUGAAUCAGGGGAUAGCAUAAACCAUUUGAUUAUAUGCUAAGUUAAUUUAAUAUUUGUACACAAUCCUAAUUAGGUUAUAUGCAUCUUAAUUAUAAAUCAACAUUAAAAAAAAAAAAGAAAAAGAAUUCUUGAGUCUUUGACAAUUCACAGUUGUAUUUUAUUACCCAUUUCAUAAAAAAAAUUGCGAAUAAUGAAGAAAGAGAUUUUAUUCAAAAAUUCUGCGCAUUUUUUUAACCAAAUAGUUAGGCAUACACGAAUUAUUUGCGAAUAAUAAAUCUAACCUAAAACUUCACGUUUUAUUUUAAAAUUUGUAAAUAAUUCGUGAAUAAUUUGCGAAUUAACUCACGAUAGUUUGGAUCACUACAUUCGAAUAAUAAAUUAAUUAAAUUUAAUAAAUUUGAUCUGGUUCUAUAAUAAAAUACAUAUAAUACCAACACACACGUCGAUUUGACUAAGAUUUUUUUAAAAAUAUAUAUAUAUAUAUAAAUCAACAAAUAAAGAAAAAAAGAAAAUUCUAGAAAUGUGGCUCGUACCAACCACUCCCCAACCUCUAAAAAAAAAAAAAUUCGGUAGAAUCAGCGUAGGGCUUAAGUUACACGCAUUGCAUAAUAAGUACAUUUAUUAUUCUACUAUUAAUAAUUAAAUAAAUUAAUUACAACCCACCAAAACAUUUGGAGUUAUUAUAGCCCUCAUUAAUGCCUAAUUUGAAAUAAUCUACGUAACCAUAGUUUAGUAAAAUAUUAAUUUUGAAACUUUAUUUUUCAACUUUGAACUUGGAUCGUCCUUCGCUGUUUGUUUCAACGUAAGUAGAACGACUUUUUAUGAAAAAAAAUGUAUUAGAAAAAGAUUAAAAUUUAUGAUUUAAGAUAAGUGGAACUUGUCUUAUUUUUUUAACUAUAAAGAAAAUUGAAGAAACACCAAAAAAAGAAAAGAAAAUAAAUUUAAAUUAGUAAUAAGAUUAAUAAUUCAUGAUUUUGUUUUUAUUAUUAUCCCUAAUUAAUGCUCUACUUAACUUAACUCCAAUUCCACGUGCCCAAAAAGAUGAAUUAAAGAGUAGUUAGUAUGUCCUAAAUCACAAAUAAAUGAAUAAAUAAAUAAGGUGAACGUGUUUCCACACGCAUAUUUUGUCACACCAAUCACAUUUAUAUUGCAUAUUUUUUUUUUAUUAGUGAAAAUGGAUUGAUGGAUGUAUGUUGAAAUUUUUACAUAUAAAGUUGAUGAUUAUUUUAGAUUUUCAUAUUAAUUAAAAUAAUAAUUAAACAUCUCGCUAUAUAUGUGGAUUUCCUUUUAUCAUCAUAUAAUUCAAAAUAUAAUAAUUUUUUUUCUCUCUAUAAUUUUUUUAUUUUUUAAGAAAGAUAUUAGGCUAUUGGCCUUGUUCAAAUUUUUCUUCUUUAAAAAAUAAAAUUACUUGAAAAUCUAAAAUAUUUAUAGGUUUCGGAUUUGAGACUUCGAAUAUUGAAUAUUAAUUAUUAAACCUUUUGCCACUUAUGUCAGGGAUGGUCAGUUUCUCUCUAUAAUUGUUGCAGUAGUUUUUGUAAAAAUUGAUCAUUAAAAGAUAAUAAAAGAGCAAAAAAAACUUGAAAUAAGAGAUUGUCGUUAUUAAAUCCAGUAACACUUUAAUAACAAUAAUAAGUUAUUGGAUCUAGACCACCUACCCAAAAUAUUUAUAUUUAAAUUAUUAAUAUUGGAACACUGAUCGCACGUAUGGCUUUUACACUAUUCCAUAUUAUCCAAUAUGAUAUUAUUUGGGUAGAGAAUUUGAUGCUUUCGACUUUUUGACCCUUGGAUCAAGAAUUAUACAGUUGGGAUGAAUGCGGUCAUCCCUAGGGUUGAGUGGUCCCCACAGAAUAAUAGUAUUAAUCCAAAGGUUAGAAAUGAUCAAAGGGGUUGAUCUAAGAGCCAAAAAGUCGGAAGCACCAGAUCCUCCAUAUUUCCGAUAGCACAGUAGCUGUACUCCAUAUAGAUAAUACUUUUGAGAAAAUUAGUUGUCAUUUUAUAAUUUUUUAUAGGUAAAAACGUAUAAACUAUAGACUAUUUUGAUUUUGCUACUUAACCACUCGAAAUUUUAAUUUUAGUCAGCUAAUGACACUUUAACUUUAAAAUUUGAACUAGACGUUUAUCUUUACAUGUUUAUUUAGUAUAAUUCAUGCAAUUCUCACAACUAUGAAUUCAUUAAGGUUAGUAAUCAACUUAAAUUUUGAAGUCAAAUUGCUGUUGUCUGACUGAAAUCAAACAAAUUAAAAGGUUGAGUAAUAAAAUUAAAAUUUUGAAAAGUUGGCUGGCUGAUUCAUAAUGGUUCAUACUUCAGAUAAGCUCGUACAUUUAUACUUAUUUUUUAUAAAAAAAUAGCAUAAGUAUUGGGUAAUGAGAAGGAAGAUUAAUAUCUAAGUUCAAAUUUAACAUAAAAUUUUCAAUCACAAGUUGACAGCUUGAAUUUAUGUGCAUGUAACAUCAUGACAAAGUGAAGGACAAAAUCAAAGGGAGGGAGAAGAGGAGAGGGUCAACAAAAAGGAGUCAAUUUUAAAGUGGGAAAGGCAUCUAAACUUGGUGGGAGAAGCACAAAACAAGUUGCAAUUAACACUCAAAGAGGGAGUAGAUAAUUUAUAAACCUUUUUGUUACUUUAAUCACUACAAACCAAAGUUGUUCAAACAAAGCAACUUUCAUAAAUGAAAUAAAAUAAAUUAAUAAAUAAAUAAUUAAUUAAAGCUAGACUACCUAGCUUCAAUGUUAAGGCACCUUGGUGUGAUGCCAUAGCCACCAUAACUUUUGGAUUCAAUUCUUAAAUUAUUCUUUUAAUAGAGAUAUUCUUUGUGGUAGAAAUGUAUAAAAUUUAUCUCAAUUUUUACUCAUUCUGAUUUGACUGUCUGACCUUCAAUAUUUUUGUUUAUCCGAUUUGAGCCAAUAGUAAAGCGUUGUUUAUCUUUACGAGUUCAGUUAAUAUAUUUUAUCCAAUUCACGCAACUAUAAAUUCAUUAAAUAAGCAAUUAGUUUGAAUUUUAUACUCGGAGAGUCAGCAUUUCAGGUAAGUUUUAUACUUUUUUUUAUUCACUUUGGUUAUUCUGCAAUACAGUUUCGUAUGAGUAUGGCGAUAGAGUUCUUUACAAUUUUUUUUUAUUACAUCUUUUACUUUUGAGACACAGAAGUUAGUCCAAUUUUUAUAGAAUAUUAUGAUUUCUGACCGACCGAGAUGGUGAUUCAGUGUCUACAAACAAAACCAAGUAUUGUAUUAUUAGUUGUUUAUUUAAUUAUUUUCUGACAAAAUUCAUACUAUCGACCAAUCACAAGCUAUGCACAUAACCACUAAAAGAAAGAACUCGACUGAUAUUUUUUAAAGUAGAAAAGUUAAUCCAAACGCCGGGAUAAAAAGAAACCCACUUUGGAGCCACUUUGGAGCUUCUAGCUCUUUAAUUAGGCUUUCUUUUUAGUGCUUUUCCCUUUAUGAUGCCAUUCUCACAAGAACUAUCCCAAGCAUACACACAAAAAGAUAUAUUUCCUCAAUUGCACUACAUUAUUUUACCAAAAUCCUAAUUAAUUAGUUUAGCCCAAGUUGGUUUUUAAUCCUUGUAUCCAAUGACAACACAAUAUAUAGUCACAAGCUUUUUUUUUUUUUUUUUUUUUUUUUGAGGAAGGUCACAUGCUUUUGUCCUAUUACAAAAAGCAUGUGUGAAAACAAGCAAAUGAGAAGCAAAAUAGCACAAGCACAAAGUGGCAUGGAGUAAGGACAAAUGUAUUACUAGGAAUUCCAUAACUUAUCCCCUCUCCACCACCAAUUAUUUAACAAAUAAUGUAAUGAAGGAAUAAUACUCAAAUGAUAUCUUAAAAGUAUAAUCAAUGAGUCAGUUUUAUAUACAUGAUAAUAUAGCGAAUGGAUCGGAUCUCUAGAUCUAUUUGGUUCUAUACUUCUGUUUAAAAUGUAAUACUUUUUUUUGAUGAAGUGCUCUUAGAAAAUUUUAUUAGGAGCAAUACUGUGAUAAGACAUUAUCAUUCCGGAUUGUGAAAAGAGCGUAUUGUUCGCGGCAAAAAAAGGACGAUAGAAAAAUAGCAUAUUUAUUUUCAUAUAUCAUAAUGAGUAGGGUAAAAUAUACUUUCUGUUGUCAUAUCAAAAAAUAAAGAAGAAUGAGCAAUACUUCAAUACUCCGUUGUAAUCUUAGUCGUUUAUUUUUAAUCAAUGAAGGGUUAAGAUUUAUGCAUAAAAAAAGAUGACCUGCUAUUGCACAAGAAGUGCCGGUCAUCAGGUAUGUGAUCUGAGAUUUUUUUGGAAAAAAAAGAGCUAAUAUUAAAAAAUUAAAUAACUAAUAUUGAAAAGUUUUGCAUACUAUUCUUAAAUCAUGGAGGGAAUAAAUUUUUAAUUAAAUUAUCCAUUUUUAAAGCUGAUUUUAAUAAUAAUUUAUGAUCGCAUUUGAGUCAUAAAUUUAGUAAUUUAUAAUUUAAAAUUAAUUUUCAAACAUUAAAACUUUAUGUUUAAAUAGUUAACAAAAUUUAUUUUUUAAGUAUAAUAUAAACUAAAUCUAAAUUUAUAAUUUAAAUUUGAUCAAUAUUUUUGAAAUUUAAUGUGUUUUUCAAUAUUGAAUUAACAAUUUCAACUUACUUUAAAAUGUAGAAAUCUUUUAUUUAAAUAAAUAAUAAAAGUUUAUAAAUACACUACAACUUAUAUUACAAUUUUAAAGAUAUUAAUAUUAAUUUUUGAACUUUCAUGUUAGUUUAAUAUUGAAUUGAUAAUUUGAAUUGAAAUGUUUACUCGUUUAAAUAUAAAUUUUUCUUCCUAAAAUUUAAAUUUAAUUUAUACAGUUAUAAAUAUAAAGUUUAAACUCAAGUUAAAUUUUAAAUUCAGAAUUUAUGAAGAUUUAUCACUUAUGAAAUUAGCCAUUAUCUAAGUCGGUAAGUAACAAAAGUAAAUUAGGAAAUGAAGAUUUGUUGGAUAUUAUCAAAUUUGGUAAUUAGCUAAUGCAUAGUUUCAAAUAUCAUCUUUAUGAUUGAUUGGUAACCUAUUGAGCAGGUUACCACUGUGUAAAAGUCAAUCUUAACCUCAAAAAUUUGAAUAGUCGGAUUUAAAUUGGUCGGUGUAUAGAAGUAUUUCUCAAGAAGAAUAUCUUUACAUGCUUAUACCUAACUUUUAUUUUUGCCCAAUAACAUUAGGCGUUCCCCAAUACUGAACCCUAAAUCUUUUUCCAAUAGAUUUUUUAGCAAUUAAAUUAUAAGUUCUAAAUUAGACUCAAUGUAUGUAGCGUAAAAUUACACUUCAGCUUCUCACUAUGACAGAAAAUUAGGCAUUUCAUAUUUACCAAACACACUAUUAUAAAUAAUUGUAGCUAAAAAGAGAAGAAAAAAUAAAGUCAAGCAGAUCCUCUCUUCAAAUUUAUCAUACCAAUCUUAGAAUUUGUGCUAGAUAUUUAUCGAAUCAGUAAUUACCUGCUGUCGUAAGUACAAAACUGAUUAAUUAUAUUAUAUUUUGAGAACCUUUUGACCUACCCAUAGCAUUAGUUAUUUUCAACAAAAUAGGAAUCCAAAUCACCACUAAGAGAUUAUGUUGCAAUUAUAUAUAUAUAUAUAUAUAUAUAUAUAUAUAGAAUGAGGCUACUAUGCUUCUGGAAGUACGGAGCCUUCCGUGCUUUCAGGGCGUUUUUGAUGUUGCGACUUUCGAAUCGUCGAUCGGCUCCGUUAAACUUGAUCUAGAGUAUUUGAAGUAGUUAGAAAAUAAAUUUUAUAAUUUUUCGAUAUCAUUUGCCUAGUGAACUAAGGGGCUCAAAAUCAACGGCUGAAAAUAAAAAUCUUACAAAACGUGAUAAUAUGAUAUUAAAAUUUUAGAUCAAAAAUAUUGAUCUUGUUUUAUAUAGUAUAAAGAAUUUUCUAUCAAAGUUUCAUGUGAUUUGGAUAUUUUAUAUCGUAAAUGCUAACGGCUCACCUGACGGCAUUUAAAAUUAUUUAAGUUUUGAUCUUCGGUACUAGCAAAUGUAUCGAAAGAAAAUUAUAAAAUUUAUUUCUAAGUUACUUGGAACAUACUCUAUCAAGUUUAACGAACGAUCGAUGAUCUCGGAAAGUCACCAAGUCGAAACACGGUCUAGACGAGGAGAUUCGUGCUUCCGAGAAAAUAUGUCUCAUCAAUUAGAUAGCUAGUACUAUAUAGUAUAUAUAUUUAUUAUUAUAUUAUUAUUUUCCUAUCUUUUUCUACCCCAUUCAUUGUUUGGUGGGUGGUCAUCGGAAACUUUUAAGCUUUGGUGUUGGUUGGGCCACCUCAGCAACUAGCUUUGGUUUUCUCUCUUUGUCCACAUUAAUUACUUAUAUAUUAUAGGGCAUUUCGAUGGAUUACCCUCUCAGAGUCUAAAAUAUCAUAGAUGCCCCCUAUAAAAUUUAAAAUUCACUCUAUACCGCCGUACAAUACAUGAAAUUUAUCACCAAAUAUCUCUUAGCGUUAGUUACGGUUGGUUUACCAUAUUAUUAAAGGUUAAAGAUGGGUUAAUUUUAAAAAUGACUUAAUUUAUCCCAAGAUUCUUAAGUAAAAAGAUGGAGAUCCCCUAAUGUAUGCGAUUUUGAAAACUGCUUCCUCAAAUUUAUUAUUUAGUUUGAUAUCCAUCCCAGUGUAUGAAAAAAUGAGAAUUUUAUUUUUGAUAAUUCACAAAUCUAGUGCUCUAUAUAUUUUAUGAAUAAUAAUUAUAUAUAAAAAAUUUAAAUUGAAAAAGUUAAAAAUUGAUCUUUCUUUAAUUUUGACAAGUAAAGUUUUUUUAAUUCAAAAUUAUUUGAUAAUUCUAUCUGCUUAAAUGCAUUAAAAAACUGAAAAUUAAUAUUUACUUCGAACCAAAAUUUGUUUUUGUUUCAAUCGAGAGAAUAUUCAUGUAGUAGUUAUGUGUUCUUUUGUUUAAAUAGAAAAAAAAAUAAGAAUCAUAAUUUAUGUUUAAAUUAUAUGUAUAAUUAGAAUAUAAAUGAUAAAGAUACAGCAAUUUUAUCUGAACUCGAUUUAAAAGAGUAAGCUGACAAUUAGGGAAUAGUUUAUUAUAAUAUAAGAAAAUAAAGUUCAUGAUGUAAAGUUCGAGUUGAUGAGUUUUGUUAUAUUUAAACUGAACUUGAACGAAAUCCCGAACUAAAAACAAAACAAAAAUAUGAUAAAACAUAGCCUAUAUACUAAAAUAUAAUUUUAUUAUAUUUUUUAAUAAUUGAAUAUAUAUAAUGACUUUAUUUAAUAUGUAUAUCAUUAAACUCAAAUUUUAGAUUUAAAAAUUAUCUUGAAUACCUAUUAGUAUUUUUAUUUAUUAAGUAAUUAAUAAGAAAUAAAGGGUAAAAAAUGGUAUUUUAAAACUUUUAAACUCCGUUCAAAUCGGCGAUAACGGAUCUGAAACAAUAGAGAGGCACAGUUAUUGAUGAUUUUUUAACUAUUGGAGGUAUUUGUGAUAUUAUCAAUUUUAGAAGGGUAUUGAUGAAAUUAAUAGUUUCUAGAAGGGCAUCUAUGAAAUUAUCCCUAUAUUAUAAUAAUAUAUACACAUAUAUAAUAUAAUUAAAAAAUAAAAAAUAAAAAACUCAUAUUAUACUCUUCCCAUGAUUCCAUGAAUAUAGUGAUCUUUUGAUAACUCAAAACUUAUGAAUUAAAAAAAGUAAAGUGGGGGAAAAAAUAUAACUGGGUAGCGAAAAAUAAAAAAUUAUUUGUAAAAGAAAAAUGAACGAUAAAUAAAAGUAUAGUCGCCCUACUUUUCUUUUUUCGUAUUUUACUAAAACAAAUAUCGAAAGCACCAACUUAUAUAUAUAUAGUAGGCUAAAUUAUAAAAAAUCCUCCCGUCAAAAUUCGAUUUUUUAUUUUUUUUCUCGUCAUUUAAAAAUCUAUACUUUUCCCCCUUAUAAAAUAAAAAAUAUUCACAAAGGAGUACGGUGUGAACUGUUAUGACAAAAUGACUAUUUUGCCCCUUACCAUUUUGCCCCUCAUCAUGUUCACAGAAGAAAAGACUGAAAGCAUUUUUGGCAUAAAAAAUAUAUAAUAAUAUUUUAUAAACGGAAUCCUAACAGUUACUAACGGCUGGGGGCGAAGUGAACAUUUUUUAUUCUACAAGGGAGCAAAGUGUAGGUUUUUUAAAUGACAGAGAGGAAAAGUGAAAAAUUAGGUUUUGACGUGAGGUUUUAUGUAAUUUAGCCUAUAUAAUAAUAAUAAUAUUUUGGGGUUUGUCAACUUAUUAGGAUAUAGAGGUGAACUAAUUAAUUAAGGAUUAAAAAGGUGGGGUGGAAAAUAAUUAAAUAAAAAAGGUCCUUUAUUUAUUUAAUGAAAGAAAAUAAAAGAUAAUAAAAAGGAUAUGUUCACCACACAUGUGAGUAUAAAUAUCUCAACUUUAUAUAUCCCCUUUCCUUUUCAUAAAAACACAUGGCUCUUGUGAGAAAAGAGUUCCUAAUUAUUCAUUAUCAUUUGUUUAUUAUUAUUAUCUUAUCUCAUUAAAUGAAACCUCUUUAUUAUUUUUGUUUUUUACUUCAUUAAUGAAGUUAGAGAUAAAUAUAUUAUUAAGGGGUUUGGUGAAUUUUAUUUUACUAAUAUGAUAAUAUUCUGUGAUUUAAUUACUCUGUGAUUUUAUUUUUAUUUUUAUUUGAAAUCAGAUGUUGCAAAUUAUUAUUUUUGUAAAAAAAAUUAUCAUUAUACUACCAAUAAAAUUCUAAAAUAAGAGACAAAUCGAAGUUUAUUCUAAAAAAAUAAUGCUAUAUUUAUUUAUUUAUACAGUUCAUAAUAUUUUAUUAAUAUAUUAAUAUAUAUUUACUAAAAUAGAAUAUGAUAAUCUUUUAUUACAGCUUAAAUAAGUGGAUAUAAAAUUUGAGAGAUUAUUUCACAAGAUUUUUUGUUUAAUUUAAACCAAAAAAAUAUUUUUAAAAAAAUUAAUUUGGAAAAAGAAAACGUUAUUUUCAAAGAUCUAGUAAGUUUCAAGAAGUGUCACUAUGUGACUUCCAACGGACCAGCUUUUGCCACGUGUCAUGGCUAAUGGCCCUCCCUUUCCAUGAUACAAAUAAAAAUCUAUCAUAAAGAGAUAUUUAUAAAUUAGUCCCACUAAAUUUUUAUAUUUGUAACUUAGUUUCUGAUU